GCAGAUCUUAGCUUAGCAUGCUUGUUUUCCCUUUGUUUUCUAUUGUUGCUUUAUAGUCUUUUGCUUCAAAGCAUAAUUGUCUGUUUGCUUUGAAUAUUAUUUGAAACAAGCUUGGCUCAAUUUAUGUCACUCUUUUUGGCCGGUGAGUGGGAGAAUGUCCCACCCUUUUUAUACCAAAAAGAAAUUAUAUUUUAAGUUUCAAAAGAAUUUUUAUUAUUAAGUGACAAAAAUAAAAAUUUAUUUCAAAAAGGAUUCAUUUCACAAUUAAAUUCAGAAUCGCCACUUGACAUAGAUCGGAUGUGUCAAGUCACCUUUAAAAAUUCUUGACUCUAAAAAUUGAUCCGCAAACAGAAAUUUCGACUAAGGAAUUCUGUUGACCGAGGGAAAAGUGUUAGGCACCCUUCGAUUUCGUGGUUCGACCACGGUUCGCAUUGUAGAGUAUAUCGGCCAGUAUGAUGCUACGAAUUGUAUAAACCAACAAAAACACGUAACAAGCAAACAAAACAUCCAAACAAUCAAAAAAAAUCUAAAAAUAGUGUCCAAUCUGAGUUAUACAGUCCCAAAAAUAGAAAAAUAUGGAAAUGUAAAUCCUAUUCUAAACUAAUCCUAGACAAAGCUCCAAUGAUUUACCCAAUGCCUCGAAUCUUCAUCACGAACCUCCUUUGCGUACAUGAUAAGUCGGGGCAUUCCCCGAUGAAUAAAUACAAAUGACCUCAGGGCAUUCCCCGACUAAAUAAAUACACUUUCAGUUUGCGAUAAAGUAGAAAGAACCAUUCACACUCACGUUCAAACAUUCAACAAAACACCAUUCCUAAAUUUGCCUACCCAAGCCUACCCGUUUGCCUAUUAAUUUCAAUCCAUCAUGAUGCUAUUGCGUUUAACAACAUCAACACUUAUUCCGAAUUAAACAAUCCUCAAUGAAUCAAAAUAACCAACCUUCAUCUUUCAUCAAAACCAAACCCUCCCCGAAUUCAUUCUCAAAAUAAUUACUCAAUUCUUCGACUACCAAUUCAAGUUUUCCCAUUCAAAUCCAACAUCAACCAACACACAACAAAGAUUCAAACAUGUCAAACAACAAAUCAUUCACAUUCACGUAGAAAUUAAAAGGGAUAGAAGAUAGAAUUGAACCUCAAUGCCAGUUUCAAAAUUGAUGUAUUAUUCCAAUUAACCCGAUUAAAUCCGCAUCCGAAAUACCUCGAUUUGAAACUCAAUAACGAACGACACCAACUCGAAUAUAGAAAGAUAAACCGGACAGAUUUAAACCAGCCAAAGCAACGUCAGUACAGACAUCGCCAAUUUCUACCGUCUUCUGGUAGACAUCGCUUCCGGCGAUAAUCCCCUUUUUUCCAGCGAUAACAGUCAGCCUGCACCUAUUUUUUCCUUCUCCCGAUCUCCCUCGUCUAUCUUUUUCUCCAAUUUUUGUUUCUUUUCCCUCUGAUUUUCACUCUCAGCUCUCCAAUGUUCUCAACUUUCUCUGCGUUUUCUCCUUCUCACUUUCACGAUCCGGUGUAGUGUGUGUUCUCUGCUUUCAAUGGAAAAUGCGGGGUCUAUGUGUGUGUUAUGUGAAAUACCCCUCUUCAAUUGUGAGAGUGAUGGUGUAUGUGGGAUAUUUUGAGAGUCUGUGUAGUGUAUUGAAAUUUUCGUUGGUCAGUGGAAAAUGGUGAGGAAAAUGGGGAGGAUGGGUGUGUGUUUCUCUUCACUGUAAUCUCCCGUCCCUCUGUGUGUGUAUACUAUCCCCCCCUCGAGAUGAAAGAAGCAAAAAUGGCCUCUGUGUGAGUGAAUAUAUAUAUGGCAGUGGUGUGUUGUAUUGUCUAUUAAUGGAAAAUGGAGUCCCUCCUAUGGGUUGUGUGUGUGUGGGUUCAGAAGAAGGAAAAAAUGGAGUCCCGUUAUCAGUGAUAUUGGGUGUGUUUGGUUUGAUGGAAAAUAUUUUUCAAUUUUUAUCAUUUUUGAAUGGAUUAAAAGUUUUGAAAAAUGUGUUUCAAAUCAACUUAUUUUUUUUAAUUCUAAGGAAAAUGACUUUUUUUAAAAAAAAAUAGAAAAAAGAUUUUUCAAAAUUGUCUUUCAGUCUCACUCUUAAAUUGAAAUAUUUAUACAACUCUCAAAAUCAUUCAUCCUACUUUUUUCUUAAGAAAAAUUAUUUAAUUUUUUUUAAAAAUUCUAAACUUUUUUCUUACCUCCUCUAUCCAACCCCCUUACCAACCUCCCUCUCCUCUCCUCCCCCCUCAAGAAAAUUAUUUUUUUGAAAUUUUUUAAUUUUUUCCUUAACCCACCCUUACCCCCGACCCCCACCCUCUAAUACUCCCAUUCAAAAAAAAUAUUUUAANNNNNNNNNNNNNNNNNNNNNNNNNNNNNNNNNNNNNNNNNNAUUUUCUUAUUCCACCCUUAUUACCUAUUUUGACAACCUCAACCCCUACCUACCAACCCCCUCUCAAAAAAAAAAUAAAAAAAUUUAAAUUUGUUUUGUAAAAAAAAAAUUCAAAACUUUUUUCUUAUCCCAUCCUUUUUAUCCUAUUUGUUCUCAUUAUUUUUGUUAAAUAUAUACAAAUACUUUUUGAAAACAUAUAUUUAUCCAAUUUGCAUAACGACCACACGAAUAUAAGUAAGAAAUAACUUAUUUUUCUAGAAAAUAUUUUUCCUCCGUCAUAUCGAACGCACCCUAAAAAAAGUAUUUUUUGAGAUCAAAAAAUUAUUUUUCUUAAAUGUAUUUUUACGCUUUAGCUAAACAUUAGAACGUAUUUUUUGAAAAAUAUUUUUUCAUUCACCAACCAAACACUAUAAAAUAUUUUUCGAAAAAUAUUUUUCAUCCACCAAUCAAAUAUAGGAAAGCAAGUAAGAAAUCAACUUGUUUUUCAGGAAAACAUUUUCCUUCAUACCAAACACACCCAUUGUGUGUGUAUUUCUUUGAAUUGUGUCCAUUGCUGUUAAAGGAAAAAAGAUGGAAAAUACGUGUAAAGGGGGCUAAUGAAGUAGGGUAGGGGGUGGGGACACGUGGGUAGGGGUAUGUGGGGGUGGAGUGGUGAUGUGUUGUCAAAAUUUGAUAGGAAGGGGUUGUUAUUUUGUUUCAAUUGGGAUUAUGUGGGAAUUUGGGGAUAAAAUUUGUUUAGCGUUGAUUAUUAUUUUGUUAUGUUGUGAAAAAAUUAUGUAAUGGGGUUGGGGUGCAUGGUAAGAUGGAGUAAAUGAUAAAAAUAAUUUUUGGAGGGACAAAAUUAUGUGUCUACAUCAUGCCUCAUUUGGAGGUAAACACAACGUGUUUUCAGACAAAGAAGUAGACAACGAGACAAAAUUUUAUCCCGAGUAUUAUUCAAAAGAGAGAAACAAAAGGAAGGAGCACAACUGAGUUUUAAUUUUGAGCAUCCUUCCUAUCCUAAGUUAUGUGGGAUUCAAGUCGCAGAUGGUUUCAGGAUUGACAAAGAGGGACUAUACCGAGUUGGAGAGUCGAGUGAGGUCCUGUCUAGGUUCCGAUCCGCGGAUCUGUUAUUACAUCAAAAUAAAAAUUACAAGUUAAAAAGAUAAAUGAAAUUACAAAAGUCCUAUCUAUGCAGCUUCUUUUGGACUUUUGACUUGAGUUUCUGAUGCUUUCAAAAUUGACAAAAGAUCUGAUCUUCUUUGGGUUGAACUUAAGAAUAGAUUCUUUCUCCAUACAAAAUUUGAUAUUGGAGAUGAACUCACAAAUUGACCAUGUUCUAUCGGUGGUACUUCUGAACCUUGAUCCUGAAUUUGAAAAUCUUCACCUUAUUCUUCAGGCGGGCACCUGACUUACAAUUUCUUCACAUUGUUGCUUGGCUUUCAAUUUCAUCACCCUAUUCUCCAGGUAGGCUCCUGACUUGCUAUUUUUAAUCUUUUGAUUUUCAAUUUCAUCUCCCUGCUCUUUGGGCGGGCUCCUGACUUAUAAUUUCCUCAUUUUAUUGCCUUUCAAUUGCUUCACAUUGUUACUUGACUUACAAUCUCUUAACCUUGUUACUUGACUUGCAAUUUUUUCACCUUGUUAUCUGACUUUCAAUUUCUUCAUUCUGUUCUUCAAGUGGGCUCCUAACUUGCAGUUUUCUCACUCUGUUCUCCGGGUGAGCUCUUGACUUGCAAUUUCAUCACCCUAUUCUUCAGGCGGGCUCCUGACUUGCAAUUUCCUCACUCUAUUCUCCGGGAUAGCUCCCGACUUUCAAUUUCAUCACCCUAUUUUUCGAGCGGGCUCCCGACUUGCAAUUUCCUCACUCUGUUCUCUCUGGGUGAGCUUUCGACUUUUAAUUUCAUCACUCUAUUCUUCUGGCGGGCUCUCGACUGCAAUUUUCUCACUCUGUUCUUCGGGCGAGCUCCCGACUUUUAAUUUUAUCAUCCUAUUCUUCGGGCUGGCUUCCGAUUUGUAAUUUUUUCACUCUGUUCUUCGGGCGAGCUCCUAAUUUUCAAUUUCAUCACCCUAUUCUUUAGACGGGCUCCCGAGUUGCAAUUUCUUCACUCUGUUCACCGGGUAAGCUCUCGAUUUUCAAUUCCAUCACCCUAUUUUUCGGGUGGGCUCCCGAGUUGUAAUUUCCUUACUCUGUUCUCUAGGAGAGCUCCCGACUUGCAAUUUCAUCACCCUAUUAUUUGGGCGGGCUCCCGACUUGUAAUUUCCUCACUCUGUUUUCCGAGCGAGCUCCUGACUUUCAAUUUCAUCACCCUAUUCUUCGGGCAGGCUCCUGACUUGCAAUUUUCUCACUCUGUUCUUCGAGCGAGCUCCCAAUUUUCAAUUUCAUCACCUUAUUCUUGGGGUGGGCUUCCUACUUGCAAUUUUCUUACUCUGUUCUCCAAGCAAGCUCUCGACUUUUAAUUUCAUCACCCUAUUAUUCGGACGGGCUCCCGACUUGCAAUUUUCUCACUCUGUUCUUUGGGCGAGCUCCCGGCUUUUAAUUUUACUACCCUAUUCUUUGGGUGGGCUCCGGAGUUGCAAUUUCUUUACUCUGUUCUUUGGAAGAGCUCCCGACUUACAAUUUCAUCACCCUGUUCUUCAGGCGGGCUCUUGACUUUCAAUUUCAUCACCCUGUUCUUCAGGCGGGCUCCUGACUUUCAAUUUCAUCACCCUGUUCUUCAGGUGGGCUUCUAACUUGCAAUUUCAUCUUCCUGUUCUUCAGGCGGGCUCCUGUUCAUUAAAAUCAAAGCUAGAACAAAAUUAUCCCAAACAAACAUUAUGAUAGAGAAAGAUUUCAUUUUUUUAAAAAAUAAAGUCCUAUUUUCCAGGAGGGUCAUGAGCAGAAAGUAAUGUCCCAUUUUCAAGAAGGUUUUGAACAGAAAGUAAUGUCCCAUUUUCUAGGAGGUCCUGAACAUGAAGUGAAUUUUCGGAUAUGCUUUUUCAAUGGUAGCUGAACUUAAUGAACAAAACUUUACCCCUGUUUCAUCAAAGAAAAAUUUGUUAGUUGAAAACUUAGUGGUGACUUGCAGCACUUGGCUUCCCAGCCAUCUGCUACGGUGCUCGUUCCUUUCAUCUUUGUUUUAGAUUGCUGACACUUGCUCCUAUCUUGUCGCAUCAUUGACCCAAACCUAGAUUAAGAGAGAUGACUUUGACUCGAACACCAAAUUUCUAUUUUACCAAGCCUUUGAAACCUGAUAUUCUCACGAAUCCAGCAACCUGUCGGUUGAUAGACUUCCUUUGCUUUGUUUUGAAUUAUGAUCAUGUUUCUUUCAUGUGCUGGUCCUUGGCUUUUCCUCAUGUAAUUGGGAAGACUGGUAGCAAGUUUUGAAAUACUUUCUCACUUGUUUUGACAUAAACUUGACUCAAAAAUAAGAGAAAAAUGACAAUGAUGAUUUUUUUUAUUGGGAUAACUGACUCAAGAAAAUAAAAUAAAAAUAAAGAGAAUAAAGAAAAGACAAUGAAUGUCCCCAUUUGAAAUAAAAAAUUAAAAUUUAUCUAAAAAUGACAGUAACUCUAAUGAUUAUGCCAUGGAUUUUGGAUUAAGCUGCCCGAUCUUUCCAUCCAAACUUUCAACCAAUUGUUCUUGAGUUAAUGGCCUUAAAACUGAGUUACUUACUUGGGCCAAUUGCAUUCAGAGUCCUUAUUCGGCUAGUGACGUCUUGAAGGGUUUUCGCCAACAAGCAUCUCUCAUUUUCUUUUCUCAGCUCACCAUUGUCUUAUGGUGUCCGUGAGGGGUUUUGACCAAUGAAACUCUUAUUUUUAUUUCUCUCAACUCAUAGUCAUCUUACAGUGCUCGUGAGGGUUUUUACUGAUAAGAUUCUCUCAUUUUUAUCUCUCUCAACUUACCAUUGCCUUACGGUUCCCAUGAGGGUUUUCACCUAUAAUACUCUCUCAUUUUUAUUUCUCUCCUAAUUCCUUAUGCUGAGGAAGACGAGUAGUUCCCAAAAUGUGUCAUCAUAUCCAUUGCAUGCUUAGCCUUAACAUUCUCAAAGAUUAAUCUGAAAGUCUUUCUUUAGUUGUAACUUGGCUUUUGGAUAAGGUUUAGGAAGAAAGGAUGACAUGAGGCCUAAACGACAGUUGAAGUGGGGUAGGACUUAUAACUCAUGAAAUCAAACAAUGAGGAUUAAGUCAUGCCCAAGUUUCUUUUGGAUGGGUGACUCUAAAUUAUUUAUUUGGUUAGACUGAACCCCGAGUAGGGCAACCUACGUAUCUCACUCUCUCUUGAGAAGAAUCAGGCCACACGUAGUUCCGACAGUUCGUUCUUUUGCUUGAUUUUGAUUUCUUCUCCUCUUUUUUUCCAUUUUUUUUCUUUUUUCUUUCUCUUUGAAACUUUUCUAGCUUUAUUUUUCUUGACACUCUUCUUUUUCUUUCUUUUUGACACAUUUUUUCUGACUCUAUUCUUUUGCUCGACACUUUUCUUUUGAACUUUGCCAACUCUUAUCAUUGAUUCCAAAAGAGGGGUAUGAAAAAAAAUAAAACUAAAGCUCAAACGGGGUUCACAAAGGAUGACACAAUGUUUGGAUAGUAGAAUGAAAUAUCUCCGUCAUAUCAAUCCUUGAAAAUGCAAGUAUAUAUCAUGCAAUGUGAAAGUGAAAGAUGGAGAUCAUUCGUGACAUUUUUACUGCACUAACUUUAACUGAAUUUGUGCAUCACUAAUCUUGCACUUGGUUCAACAUACCACUCCACUUUUGUUAUCCAUUCCUCAUGCUGAAGGACUCAUGACUUCGUGGAGCUGAUUCUUUCUAUUCCUCUUGAUAUAGGAUUACACAGCCACUGUUUAACCUAAUCGAGACAUGUCUUUCAAUUGAUGACCAAGUUAUUCUUGUGAUUCUCAAAAUAAUUGCCUUAAUUUUCAAAGAAGGCUUCAACUAAGGGCGUUAAGUGGGCCAGGUCGGGUAACCCAGAACCGGCCCAUGAAUUUUAACCGGGUUGUAGGUACGGAUCCGGGCCUGAUUAAAAAACUCUGAAUCAACCCACUUAACCUAAUCCGGUCCAAUCCACCUAAACUGGGUCAAAACGAUUAAAAAUUCGAUCGAAACCCGUCAAAAAUUAAAAAAAAUCUCCAAUAUACACUAUAUACACACAUAUAUACAUUUUAAAUACGUUAAAAAAUAUAUAUACACUAUAUAUAUAGUAUAUGCUACAUUAGAAUUUAAAAAAUAUAUACACAUAUACACAGUUACACAGUAAUCGUGUAUACGACUAUACAUUAGUUAAAUAUAUAUACUACUCUAAAGAAAACAUAUACUACAAGAUAUAUACUAAUUUAUAAAACAUAUACACAUGUAUACGUUAAAUAUAUACUACUUUAGAAAAUAUAUACACAUAUUUACGUAUCAUUCAAUAUAUGUACAUCUUUAAAUAAAAUAUACUACAAUAUAUAGACAAACUAUAUAUAGUUAUAUAUUAAAUUAUAAAAUAUAUACAUAUGUAUACGUUAAAUAUAUACUACUUUAGAAAAUAUAUACACAUAUUUACGUAUCAUUCAAUAUAUGUACAUCUUUAAAUAAAAUAUACUACAAUAUAUAGACAAACUAUAUAUAGUUAUAUAUUAAAUUAUAAAAUAUAUACAUAUGUAUACGUUAAAUAUAUACUACUUUAGAAAAUAUAUACACAUAUUUACGUAUCAUUCAAUAUAUGUACAUCUUUAAAUAAAAUAUACUACAAUAUAUAGACAAACUAUAUAUAGUUAUAUAUUAAAUUAUAAAAUAUAUACAUAUGUAUACGUUAAAUAUAUACUACUUUAGAAAAUAUAUACACAUAUUUACGUAUCAUUCAAUAUAUGUACAUCUUUAAAUAAAAUAUACUACAAUAUAUAGACAAACUAUAUAUAGUUAUAUAUUAAAUUAUAAAAUAUAUACAUAUGUAUACGUUAAAUAUAUACUACUUUAGAAAAUAUAUACACAUAUUUACGUAUCAUUCAAUAUAUGUACUUCUUUAAAUAAAACAUAUGCUACUUAGUAUAAUAAAUUAAUAAUAAUUGAUAGUAAAUUAGCAAUAUAUUAAAACUAAGUAUUUGAUUUAAACUAGAAAUUCAAUUUAAAUCAUUAAAUAGAAAAAAUUACAAAGUAAGGACUAAGAAGUGAAUGAAUGUAGAAUUUUAUUGAUUCCAAAAUGAUCCAAAUUUUUUAAUUUACAUGAAUGAAAAAUCUACGAAUUUUACAUCAUUUUUUCCAACUCAUUCAUGUUAAUAUUAACGGAAACUUGCAUAGGAUAGUCAAAGUCAACGGGGGCAAAACCAUGCAUUGGACUUGAUUCUACUGAGUUCUCCCGUGAAGUUAUAAUUUUUUCAAGUCUCUUCUAGUCGUUCGGUUCUGCUUCCAUUCCUUGAUUUCUUCGUUCCGCUCUAAUCCAAUCUCUAAGGCAAACUAGAACAUUCAUUGCAUUGCUUCCUAAUGAGUGUCGGUUGUCUCCAAGCUGCUGUCGUCCCUGACUAAAAGUGCUCUCUGAUGCAACGAUUGACAUUGGAACAUUCAAGAUAUCUCUAGCUAAUCUUGAAAGCAUAGGAUAUUGUGUUUCAUUAUUCCUCCACCAAUCCAACGCGUUGAUCCAUCGUCUGUGAUUCUCUAUCGGCGUUAGGAGAUAAUACUUCAGCUCUUCCCGAUAAGUUGUUGUGUAAACUCCCUCCUCAACAUUGUUCCAACAAGUUAAAUCAUAAAAGUAAUCAAGAAAACCACUAUGUGCCAGCCUUUUAGAAGAUGAUGGCUCAUCAGGAUGAUGAAGAGCGACAGUUGGAGUGAUAUUUGUCGGUAUAGCUAAAUCAACUAAAUCAGCAUAGUGGUUAUAUAAUUUAUCUAUGUAAUCGUUCGCAUCGGCCAUAGCCGUCCAUAAAUCAGGUUGUUCUUGUUCUUCAUCAUCAGAAUCAUUGUUAGUAUUUAUCUCUAAGUUAGCAUAAAUAAAAGUACUAAAAUGGCACAUAGUAUUAUAUUUAAUGCACGAAUUUGGCAUAGCACCAACCAAGUAAAUAGGGGAAAUCCAAAAAAAAUAUUUUUGAAAUUUAGCGAACAUGACACCAACAGCUUCUUUGUAACCUUCUUUAUUUUUAUAUUCUUUGAACAAACGAGAAAUAUCGGCUAUAUAUGCCAAAAUAUUACAAACAGUAGGAUAGUAAGCAUCGGAAAAUUCAACCGUAGCUAUAUAAAUUUUUUUCAAAAACUUAACAAGAUCAUCAAUUACAGCCCAAUCAGAAUCGUAUAGCAUGCAGUGGGCAGAAUCAGUAAAUGAACCACAAUGUUGGUUAAAAGAUAGUGUAAUAGGAACUCUAUAUUUAUGACAAGUUUUUAAAAAAUAAUACCUAACAUUCCAUCUAGUAUCACAUUCUUUAGGCAUCAAUAUCGGUGCAAGUCUAUUUUUUUCACAUUUAAGUUUAAAGUCUCUAAUUCUUUUUCUACAGUUAUUUCCUUGAAUAAAACCAACGGCAAGCCAAAUUUUUUUAAUAUAAAGCUCAAAAAGCUCAAGACCAUCUCUUACAAUAUGACAAGCACACUUAACAUAAAAAAUUUCAGGUAACGGCAAAGAUAACUUAGAUUUUAACUUUGUUAUAGCAGUCUUGUUGUUAGAAGCAUUAUAAAAAGCAAUACAUAUGAUUUUAUUUUCAAUACCAUAAAAUUCUGCAACUUUAACAAUCGAAUCAGCAAUAAAAUUUCCAGUAUGUUUACGAUCUUUAUCAUAUAAAAAAGCAAGAAUACGUGUUUGCAUAACAAAAUUACUAUCUAUCCAGUGACAAGUAAUGGUUAAAUAAUUAUUUUUAUUUACAGCACAACCAAGAUCAGAAGUUAGGGACAUUCUACAUUGAAUAUAUCUUUUAACAAUGUUGAUAAAUAAAAACAAUAUUGUGAAUGAAGUCUAAAAAUAUCGGCCCGACAAGUAUUUCUAGGAAUACCAUUAAACAUAAGAUUAUAAAUUGCUUGAAUAUAAUGCAUAAAGACAUCAGAAAAAGGAAAACUAAAAGGCAAACAACCUACAACUAUCAUUUUUGCUAUUUCUUCCCAGUUUCUCAAUUUAUUAUACUUCUUCAUUACCUGACUGGUUGCUGGGUCCAUUCUAGUUUGUGUUGGCCCACCAACAUCUGCACCACCUUGUGCAAUUUUUAACUCUCUUUUGUGAUUAUCACUUAUAUGUCUCAUUAACGUACCCGUACCCCCUUGCUUGUCUCCUCUUUUAUGCUUAUAUAUUUGUUGACAAAUAUUGCAUUGCACCUCAAUAUCUGAUAUACGUUCAAAAAAUUGUCAUGCAAUACUAGUUGUUUUACGAGCUCUUGGGGCAUGGAGAGGACGGGGAGAGAGAUUAACCGAUUCAGAUCUAAUGUUAGCAUUUUCUACUGCGGGUAUCUUACCAAUAUUUUCAUCAUCUUCAUCUAAAUUAACCGCAUCUACUUCAUUUUCUUCUUCUAUACCGUAAUUUUCCUGAGCUUCUACAUAAUACAUAUCGUGAGCACCUACACCUAUUUCUUCCUCAAAAGGUUGACUAAGCGGUACCAGAGGUGGAGGCACAUGGGUAUAUCUACUAUUUGAAGUACCUCUACUGGUAGUAAUUCGCUUUUUACUACCACUACCACUAUCGGGAUAAUUUUUUUUAACACCUUUAGUGGUGAAGUUUCUUAAUUUAUCCAUAAUUUAAAUUAAAUUAAAAAAAUUCAAAAUACACAAAUAUAAUAAAAUUAAAUAUUCAACAAUUAGUACACUAAUUAAAAAUUAAAAGUAAGAGAUGGAACGGCAAUACCAAAUUUUAGAAGUAUUUGAAGGUUGCGACUUUAGGAACUUCCACUCGUACUUUGUAAUCGCAAAAUUAAAAAAUUAAAGUGAGCACUUUAAAAAAUAUAUAGGAUAUUUGAGAAUUGAGAUUUGAGCGAGAAUGAGAUUUGAGGGAAUAAAAAUUGUGUGAAAAAUAAUUUGAAAGUGUAGGGUAUUUAUAGGAAUUUUUUUGGGUUUAAGAAUAUAUUUUAAUUGAUUUUUUUUUUAAAAUAAAAAUGGUAAUAUAGCCGUUUUUGAGACCCAAACGGUAAUAUAGCCGUUGGGUCCAACGGUCAAAUUGGCCUAACAACCAAAAUAAUUUUUUUUUUAAAAAUAAACUAUCCUGGCCGGUUCUGGGUCGGUUAACCAACAGGCCUGGAUCGAGUUUGGUCCGAGCCGGGUUAAUCGGACCCAAAACCAAAGAUAACCCAGUCUGGGAUCCGAUACCCUACAGUCCGUGGGAUGAUCGGGCCGGAUCAAAUCGGUUUGGGUUUGCUAAGUAGGCCGGGACGGGUCAACUCGGCCCGUUUGACAGGCUUAGUUUCAACUUGUCACCAAAUGUCUCAGCACUCUACCUAUUUUCUCAGAUGUUUUUCUAACUGCAGCCCUUUGAUUUAAUGUUUUAUGAUUAAAUUUGAUUUUAAGAUCUGACUGAAAAUUUUACAAGCAUGUCAUAACACUAGAAUCAACAUAAAAUGUACUAUGUAAAGAAAACAAACAAACAACACAUAUUUAAAACACAAAGUUAAAAGGGUUUAAUUAAAAUGAAAGAUAGAAGGGUUCAAACAAAGACGACAACAAAAUAAAAAAAGAUAGAUUCCGAACUACAACCCUGAAAUAAUUUAAAAAACAGAAAGGAAAACAAAAUAAACUACCAGACCUCUUCCUAGUAGGGAGAGGAGUGGUUUCUCAAUUGUUGAGCCUGACAUUUUAGCCACUGGUUUGUAUAUCAGCAUGACUAGAGCUUUCACCGUUGUCCAACACGUUUCCUUCAACAAAUAAAUUUUGAAUUCCCAUGCUUCACUCAUUGCUUCCCACGCGUUGUGCAUUACCGUAUGUUAGUGAAGGAUUUCGUAUGACACUCGUAGUGUCAAUGUCUUGCACUACAAUCAAUUUUUCUUAAAUUAUCCUUUCUAUUUCUCUUUUCAAAGCACCACAAUCCUUAAUACUUUAACCCUGAAUAUCAGAAUGAUAUGCACAUCGUACAUGAAGAUCAAAAUUUCUUGAAUGUGGGUUAGGAGUAUACCCAAGGAGAGAAGUGAUCAUUCCUCAUUGUACUAAUCUCUGGAACAUAUUGGCAUAUGAUUCUCUAAUUGGCGUGAAACUAUCCCUAAGGUUCUUUCUAUUCUCAUUGUUAAACUUGGAUCGAACAUCGGGCCUAGAAGGGCUUUGAUAUGUUUAUGGAGUUGGGGUAUGACUCUAAGGAGUUGGUGCGCACCAUUGUGAGUAAGAAAGGGGUUGCACUUAUGUUUGGGCGUUAUAUACUGGAUAUGGAGGUAGGGAAAUGAAGUAUAAUCGAUUUUAUGAGUGAUUAUAUAGAGCUUGUGUAUGAACUUGGGCUUGAAACCAAGGGUACCAACGAUGUGGUCUUCUUGGACGUGCCCGUUGUCCAACUACAAUAGCAGCUAGAUCUUUCUCAUUCUUCUUCCCUCCAGUUUCCCUUAAUUGAUUACAAUAUUGUCCCAAAUGUUUCACGAAUUCUUUAUGUCCAUCUUGCUCCUCAAAUUUCAACAUCUCAAGGAUUGGAGGAAGGCUAACACUUGAAGACAUGCCCAGUAUUUGUAUGAAAGAUCUUUACCCGAAGGUCCUAGGUAACUUUUCAUAGAGUUUUCUACACUCUUUAUUUUCCCUGCAAUUUUCUCUGGAUCUUCUGGCACGCUAGGCUUCUUGUAAAGAAGUUUUGGUGGUUCAAUUAACUCAAAAGUAGGCUCAGAAAUAUAACAAUGAUCACUAAGAGUAUUGAACAUAGGUCCACUAGCAGCAUAAGGAAGCACAACCAUUGGGCGGCUAGCCAGUGUGGAAGUCUCAGCAGAGGAUUGAGCAACAAAAUCACAGACGACAUGUGUUGUUGUGAAAGUAGUAGGCUUAUGCUGAGGAGAUAGAGAAAGAAUGGUGGAAGUAUUGAGAUGCAUUUGCCUUGGAAUGAAUUCUGAGUCAUGUUACUGUACAUCAACAAUAGUAGGAAACUGACUUUGCAAUUUUGGUAGAAAACUUGAGGUAUUUGUAGGAUCAAUAGCGGUAAAUGGAGGAGGAGGAAACCCACUGGCUCAAGCUCGAUGCAUUUUAGUUUAUUUGUUGCCUUAGUCUCAAAAUCUCUUGCUUUAAACUCUUAUUUUCCUUACUCUUUGUCUGAUCCAUGAUGUCGCUCUCUAUAUCGUUGUUGGACACAACUAACCCUUCCUUGGACUUGGUGUGAUGUGGAGGACCAGCCAGAAUGCCACAAACCAACCACCUUAAACUAACUGAACAAGAGAUAACAAAGGCGUUAAAAUGCAACACUUCUUAAAACUGUUUUGCUCCUUUUGUUUUGAAAAGAUCACCGAACCCAUGAAGGGCACCUAUGUAUCCGACUCCCGAGCGAGGAGAAUCAGGUGUGCGUAGUUAUUGAAGUUUGGCCACAAAAUGACCGAUCAACUCUUUUUUUUUUUCUUUUUUUUCUUGAAACUUUAAGAAGAAAAGAAAAUAACAAAUUGUCAAAAAAAUUGACGAAAAUCUUUUUGAAUUUUUCAGCUUUAACAUGUCUAUACAAAAUGAAACCUGUGAUCGCCAAAGAAAAAUCUUUUUGGGUUUUCGAUUUUGAAUUCCAUACGAAAAUGAAACUUGAACCUAUUAAAGAAAAAUCUUUUUGUAGUUUUAUUUUAAAAUAUGUAUAUGACACCUACUAUAAAUGAAGAGUGAAAAAAAUCUUUUUGGAUUUUUUAAAUAAGAUCAUUGAACCCUAGAAGGGCUGCCUACGUAUCUCACUCCCGAGAGAGAGAGGAGAAUCAGGUGUGCAUAGUUCGUCCAGAUUGGACAAUGGAUUAACUAGCAAACUGGACCCUGAUUUGAGAGACACGACCAAAGACAAACGACAAAAGACGUUAAUAAAAUAUUUUUUGAGUUUUACAUUUGAAACUUCACAUAAAAAUAAUACAAACAACUAUGAAAGGAAAAUCUUUUUGGUCUUUUCGUUAUAAGAAAUGUACAAAACUUCUACCAUCUUUUUGAAUUUUUCUCUUUUAUAAAAAGCUCCUAUUGAAAAAAUUCUUUUUUAAAAAUUUUUGACUUAUAAAUGCUUGCUAAAAAGAACAGAAGAAAAAUCUCUUUGAGUUUUUAGAUUGUGAAAAACAAAAGUUAUAAAGAACACUAAAAAAGAAAACUACAAAACUCUUUUUUUUUACUCACUUUUCUUUUUGCCCUUUUUUUUUCUUUUUCUAACCUUUCCUUGCCUACACAUUUUUCUUUAAUUCUAGCACAUGAUUUUUCCCAAACAGUCCGUUAAAUGACCCUAUUUCCCUAAGAAAUGCAAUAAUUAGCACGUAAGGAUGCUUUAGGGGUGAGUCUCCUACAAAAAACUGAAUGGGUCCCGCUAGGUCUCAAUAUGAUGCAGAUAAGCAUGACCUAAAGGCUGACCUACGCUGGAGUCCACUAACAAGGCUGUUCAGGGGAGCGUAUGAUCGAUAGUGGCUGUGAUUACUUUCCACCUACUCCAUACCAGUCGAUGGCUCCCCCUUCUAAAAUAAGGAUGACUCAACUAAAGGUCGUGUUCACAACGUGUACUACAUAACUUAUUGUCGAAAAAAUUGACUCGGGUUAUGCAAAUGAUGUCAGAUAUAAAGCGAUAACACAUAAGAGGAAAAACUGUAAACAUAGAGCAAGGAAGCACGCCACAAUGAUAAAACAAUAACACAAAUAAUACCACACACAAAAUGUCUAUACACAUAUAGUGUCAUACUAAUCUAAUACAACUCAAAAAUUAGCUCGAAUUCUGUAAAGUUUCCCAGCAGAGUCGACAGAGCUGUCACUCCCUUUUUUUAACCAAAAAAAAAUUAAAUUUUUGUUUUAAGUUUAAAAGGAUUUUUAUUAUUAAGUGACAAAAUGAAGAUUUGUUUCGAAAAAGAAUUUUUAUAUUCAAAAGUCAGAGUUGUCACUUGACAAAAAUCACUUGUGCAAGUCACCUUUGAAAAUCACUUUUCAAAAUGAUUUGACUCUAAAACUAAACCGCGACUAGAGAUUUCGGUUAAUGAAUUCGGUUGAUCGAGGGGAAGGUGUUAGGAACCCCUCGAUCCCGUGGUUCAACCAUGGUCGUUUCUUAGAGUAUAUCGGCUAGUACGACAUUAUGAAUGUAUAAACCACAAAACACAUAAAACAAACAAACGAAAAUCCAAAAGUUAAUGUCCAGUCCAAUUAUUACAAACCCAAAAAUGAAAAUACCGAAAUAUAAACUUACACUAAACUAAUUCUUGACCAAUGCUCUAUCCGACGCCUCGGGCCUUCAUCGCGAACGUCCUCCUGGUACAAGAUACCUCGGGGCAUUUCCCAAUGAAUAAAUAUAUACACGUGACCUCGGGGUAUUCUCGACGAAUAAAUACAUUUGAUAAAAACGCGAAUACAUAGGAAACCAUUUCAAACAAGCAUUCACACAUUCGUUAACAUAGAAUCCUAAGGCUUGCCUACCCCCAAAACCUAUAAUUUGCCAAUCGAUUUAAUUUAUCAUGAUCUUAUCAUGUUUCACAUCAAUAAUAAACCAAAAUUAAUCCGAAUUCAUUUUUAUCAAAACCAAUCCCUCCCCGAAUUCAUUCUAAGAAAUAACUAACUAAUUCUUUAACUACCAAUCCAAGUUUCACAUCCAAAUCCAACAUCAACCAACACAUAACAAAGAUUCAAACAUACCAAAUAAUAAAUAAUUCAUAAUUACAUAAAAAUUAAAGAGAGAGAAGAUAUAAUUGGACCUCAGAUGCUUUUUCAAUGAGAAAUAAUCCUUUCGACUUGAAUCGUGAUCGGAAUCUCAAAUCGAACCACAAACUACCAACUCAAUAUGCCCUCUUAUUCCAUUUUUGUCGACCCGAAUCAAAUAGCAAUGACCCAUCCGAGUUCAACUCAAUUUAUUGACGAGAAUUAAUGAGCAACGUUAACCUGAACCUAUCUCGGAUCACCGUCAAGAGGUUCGUGUACUUUCGGAUGGAUUUUGGUCACCGGUUUGAUUUUCUCUGAUGGAAUUGCUUUGAUUAGUUUCAGAUGAUGGACGACAGGGACGUUUUUCCGGUGGAUUUGGACGAAAGAGAUCGAUGAUUCUGGCGAACUAUUUGCCGAACAAGCUAACUUGAGCUGUUGUUUUUGUCCUCUAUUUUACCUCUUUGUUUUUCACUCUUUUUCUUCCAUCUCCCUCUUUUAAGUUUUCAUUGUUCAAUCUCUCCCUGUCUUCUCUGUUUUCUUUUUUUCCCUCAUUAUUUUUCUUCCUCUCAGCUGUGGAUCCUGUGAGUAUUGUGUAUAAGUGAGGUGGUGUAUAUAUUGUGAGAAAACCAUGGGGUAGGGGGUAUGUGGGGUAGGGGUAGGGGUAUAGGGUAUGAGGGUGGUGAUAUGAUGUGUCCAAAUUUUAUUAGGGGGUGGUUAAUUUUGUUAUCAAAAGAAUAUUAGGGUUUGGGUUUGUUAUUUUUAUUUUUUAAUGGAGAAAUUAUCACAUGAUUGAGGGUUGGUAGGUUAAGGUAAAUAGAUGAAAAUACACUCUCAGAUGGAAUAAAAUUACGCUUCUAUAGAGAACAGUGCAAAUACUGGAUGUAAUUUUUUUUGAUCAAAAUGUAGUCAUUGACAUUAAGAACCAUGGCCAGCUAUUAUGAAAAGAAAGUGAACCAAAUGCUUCAGGCCUCCAAGUUUUUGGGGCCCCCAUUUUCUACUAAUUGUAUGUGUACAUGUUAUUUAUUUUUAAAAAAAUAUAGUGUAAAACCUGCAAAUAAUUACUCCUUUCAUUCAAAAUACAUGCUAUAUUUCACUUUUUGAAAGUUAAUUUGAAUAAUUUUUGAAGCUAAAUUAGAUUAAAUUAAUUUAACAUAUCAAAAUUAAACAUCAGAUAUUCAUAAAUUACACAAAAAGCUCUAUAAGUUGCAAUUUUUAAGGUGUAUACAAUUUGACAAUCUAAAAUGGAGCAUGACAAGUACUUUGAUAUAAAAUACGUAUAAUAAAAAAGAAGACUUAUGAACUUAUGAAUGGUCGUAUCAUUGCACUUUUUUUUUUAGAUAAUAUGAAUUACUCUUUUAGAUCCUUACGUUCUUUGAAUAUAACUCUUUAUGGAUCAUUUACAUUUGAUAAUUGGAAUAAAUGAAACAAAUUAUGCCUUCUCAUUUUCUCUUUUAUCUAAGUAAGCAACGACUUUGCAUAUAUACAUAGAAGGGGGGGGGGUGCGAUAAGUUUUAUUAUUUAUUUAUUUUUAAUUUAAGGCCUCAUACUAAAGUUCGGCUUUAGGCCGCCAAAUUUACUGAGCCGAUCCUGUUUAGAACUUUGCUAAAUGUUGCUUUUUCCAACAUCAACUUGUAUGAACUUACAUUGAAGUUCAAUCAUACUUUCUGCAUUUCAAUUAUUUGUUUUACUUUCUUUUUUAGUCUAUUUAAAAAUACAUGCUUCUUUAAUUUUUUAGGAAUGAUGUUGAAUGUAAUGAUCAUUUAAGCAGUGCGUAGUCAGACAUUUUGUAGAUAAGUAAACACCAAGUAUCCGAUCGAAAUUGUAGUAAGCAAUGACACUCUUCGUAUUGGAUUUUCUCAUCAUUCAAAUCCUAGAUUGGGAGAAACAACUUCUUUACUUUUUGCUUUCUUCCCUUAGAGACUCUGUUCAAUCCGUCAACUUAACUUUAUAGUUUAGACACUGAUGCAUUUACCUCCUCUAUUCCAUAAAGUGUGAUGUUUUUUCUUUCAGUGUUUGAUUGUGACUCGAUUUUGUUUAUAUUCUUUUUCUAAAUGAUAGGACUUCUAACUAAUUAACAUAUUUCUUUAUUCACUGUAAAUAGCGUAUGGUGAUCAUAAAGAAGUUGUUGGAGAAGAAGGAAAAAAGCUUGAAGACUAAAGUUACAGAAAUAAUAACAAGGAAUUGAAGAGAGUGGAGGAGCUAGCUAUUCUUAAGGAUAUCAUGCCUAAGGAAUAGUAUCAAAAGUUAUGGCAUCAUAGAAUGUAUAAACCACAAAACACAUAAAACAAACAAACGAAAAUCCAAAAGUUAAUGUCCAGUCCAAUUAUUACAAACCCAAAAAUGAAAAUACCGAAAUAUAAACUUACACUAAACUAAUUCUUGACCAAUGCUCUAUCCGACGCCUCGGGCCUUCAUCGCGAACGUCCUCCUGGUACAAGAUACCUCGGGGCAUUUCCCAAUGAAUAAAUAUAUACACGUGACCUCGGGGUAUUCUCGACGAAUAAAUACAUUUGAUAAAAACGCGAAUACAUAGGAAACCAUUUCAAACAAGCAUUCACACAUUCGUUAACAUAGAAUCCUAAGGCUUGCCUACCCCCAAAACCUAUAAUUUGCCAAUCGAUUUAAUUUAUCAUGAUCUUAUCAUGUUUCACAUCAAUAAUAAACCAAAAUUAAUCCGAAUUCAUUUUUAUCAAAACCAAUCCCUCCCCGAAUUCAUUCUAAGAAAUAACUAACUAAUUCUUUAACUACCAAUCCAAGUUUCACAUCCAAAUCCAACAUCAACCAACACAUAACAAAGAUUCAAACAUACCAAAUAAUAAAUAAUUCAUAAUUACAUAAAAAUUAAAGAGAGAGAAGAUAUAAUUGGACCUCAGAUGCUUUUUCAAUGAGAAAUAAUCCUUUCGACUUGAAUCGUGAUCGGAAUCUCAAAUCGAACCACAAACUACCAACUCAAUAUGCCCUCUUAUUCCAUUUUUGUCGACCCGAAUCAAAUAGCAAUGACCCAUCCGAGUUCAACUCAAUUUAUUGACGAGAAUUAAUGAGCAACGUUAACCUGAACCUAUCUCGGAUCACCGUCAAGAGGUUCGUGUACUUUCGGAUGGAUUUUGGUCACCGGUUUGAUUUUCUCUGAUGGAAUUGCUUUGAUUAGUUUCAGAUGAUGGACGACAGGGACGUUUUUCCGGUGGAUUUGGACGAAAGAGAUCGAUGAUUCUGGCGAACUAUUUGCCGAAAAAUCUAACUUAAGCUGUUGUUUUUGUCCUCUAUUUUACCUCUUUGUUUUUCACUCUUUUUCUUCCAUCUCCCUCUUUUAAGUUUUCAUUGUUCAAUCUCUCCCUGUCUUCUCUGUUUUCUUUUUUUCCCUCAUUAUUUUUCUUCCUCUCAGCUGUGGAUCCUGUGAGUAUUGUGUAUAAGUGAGGUGGUGUAUAUAUUGUGAGAAAACCAUGGGGUAGGGGGUAUGUGGGGUAGGGGUAGGGGUAUAGGGUAUGAGGGUGGUGAUAUGAUGUGUCCAAAUUUUAUUAGGGGGUGGUUAAUUUUGUUAUCAAAAGAAUAUUAGGGUUUGGGUUUGUUAUUUUUAUUUUUUAAUGGAGAAAUUAUCACAUGAUUGAGGGUUGGUAGGUUAAGGUAAAUAGAUGAAAAUACACUCUCAGAUGGAAUAAAAUUACGCUUCUAUAGAGAACAGUGCAAAUACUGGAUGUAAUUUUUUUUGAUCAAAAUGUAGUCAUUGACAUUAAGAACCAUGGCCAGCUAUUAUGAAAAGAAAGUGAACCAAAUGCUUCAGGCCUCCAAGUUUUUGGGGCCCCCAUUUUCUACUAAUUGUAUGUGUACAUGUUAUUUAUUUUUAAAAAAAUAUAGUGUAAAACCUGCAAAUAAUUACUCCUUUCAUUCAAAAUACAUGCUAUAUUUCACUUUUUGAAAGUUAAUUUGAAUAAUUUUUGAAGCUAAAUUAGAUUAAAUUAAUUUAACAUAUCAAAAUUAAACAUCAGAUAUUCAUAAAUUACACAAAAAGCUCUAUAAGUUGCAAUUUUUAAGGUGUAUACAAUUUGACAAUCUAAAAUGGAGCAUGACAAGUACUUUGAUAUAAAAUACGUAUAAUAAAAAAGAAGACUUAUGAACUUAUGAAUGGUCGUAUCAUUGCACUUUUUUUUUUAGAUAAUAUGAAUUACUCUUUUAGAUCCUUACGUUCUUUGAAUAUAACUCUUUAUGGAUCAUUUACAUUUGAUAAUUGGAAUAAAUGAAACAAAUUAUGCCUUCUCAUUUUCUCUUUUAUCUAAGUAAGCAACGACUUUGCAUAUAUACAUAGAAGGGGGGGGGGUGCGAUAAGUUUUAUUAUUUAUUUAUUUUUAAUUUAAGGCCUCAUACUAAAGUUCGGCUUUAGGCCGCCAAAUUUACUGAGCCGAUCCUGUUUAGAACUUUGCUAAAUGUUGCUUUUUCCAACAUCAACUUGUAUGAACUUACAUUGAAGUUCAAUCAUACUUUCUGCAUUUCAAUUAUUUGUUUUACUUUCUUUUUUAGUCUAUUUAAAAAUACAUGCUUCUUUAAUUUUUUAGGAAUGAUGUUGAAUGUAAUGAUCAUUUAAGCAGUGCGUAGUCAGACAUUUUGUAGAUAAGUAAACACCAAGUAUCCGAUCGAAAUUGUAGUAAGCAAUGACACUCUUCGUAUUGGAUUUUCUCAUCAUUCAAAUCCUAGAUUGGGAGAAACAACUUCUUUACUUUUUGCUUUCUUCCCUUAGAGACUCUGUUCAAUCCGUCAACUUAACUUUAUAGUUUAGACACUGAUGCAUUUACCUCCUCUAUUCCAUAAAGUGUGAUGUUUUUUCUUUCAGUGUUUGAUUGUGACUCGAUUUUGUUUAUAUUCUUUUUCUAAAUGAUAGGACUUCUAACUAAUUAACAUAUUUCUUUAUUCACUGUAAAUAGCGUAUGGUGAUCAUAAAGAAGUUGUUGGAGAAGAAGGAAAAAAGCUUGAAGACUAAAGUUACAGAAAUAAUAACAAGGAAUUGAAGAGAGUGGAGGAGCUAGCUAUUCUUAAGGAUAUCAUGCCUAAGGAAUAGUAUCAAAAGUUAUGGCAUCAUAGAGAUUUAUUUAAAUAAUAUUAGUGAAAUAAAUUUCAACGGAAUGAUACAAAUAACGUGGAAUCAUAUAAUUGAUCCAAACUUGCCUAUAUUUGUGGUCUAAUUAUGUUGAAUGCAAAAGCAUGGUAAAUACAAAAUUUUGUAUACAACAAAAAUUUAUUUAUGGUAAAUUACCUAAUUACUCUUUUUAUCAAUUUAAAUACCUACUUAUUAAAUUUUAAGAAAACUAAAUUCUACCAAGAGAAGAAAAGUUAAAUUUGACGUUUAAAUUGCUUUUUUUUUUUUUAAGAGUCAUAAUGGUUGUUUUUCGCGGGAGUGAAGCAAGAGACAAAGUGAUUGUAGCUUUUUUCUUGACUUAUUUAAAUAAAAGGAACUACUGUCACACCCCUUUUUCGCCCGAAGGGAUCGAGUCGAAGGGUUUUUCCAAUUGAAGUGACGAUAUUGAAUAGAGAUUAAUUUAAUUACAGAGUCGCCACUUGGAAUUGAGUUAUGGUGUUUCAAGUCACCUUUAUAAAUCCCUAAUCAAAAGGAAAUGACUCUUUAUUAUGGUCUGCGAAAACAGAAGACCUGGUAAGGAAUUCUAUUGACCGAGGGGAAGGUGUGAGGUACCCCUCGAGUCCCGUGGUUCUAGCACAGUCGCUUUUAUUGACUUAUCUUAUCUUAAAUUAUUUUAGUAAGUUAUGUUAUGGCCUAAAAUCGCUUAUUUUUAUGAUGGCAAAACUGUCUAUAUAUUUUUUAUUAAAUCGAUGAAAGUUAAUUUUAGAAAAAUAUUUGUCAGCAUUAUUGCAUCCUUGAAAUUUUAAAUGUCUUGAAAAGAUGCGUACGCCGCAUUCUUAAUUGAGACGAAUAUAUUUAAACGUGCCUAAAACUUUCCCAGCCUUAAAAGACAUUCAUUCGUUUCUUAUAAACUUGAGGUAAUUUUCCUAUUCAUAUAAUUGUUCUUUUCGCUCCCCCCCCUUUUUUGAAAAUAAAUAAAUAAAUAAAUCAACUAAUGCUUAAUUUUGGUAGAGGCUUCGAUUUCUAUGUAAUAGAGACAUAAGGAUUAAAUAAAGAGAAUCAAUUCUUAAUUCACCAUCUAAUCCAAAAUGAAUUUAUACACAAUGAGAUUAAUAAACAAUCAAUUUUAUUUAAUACAUGAAAUAUCUUUAACAUUCAAAAUCGUGAUAAAUGGUAAAAAGAAAUUUAUAAAAAAAAGAUAAAUUAAUUGGUACUAAUAAGCAUGAAUAAAACUUGUUGAAGACUACUCUUUUGAAUUUCCAACUCAAUUAUUUCUUUUUAACACAAUCAAAAAGGAGAAAUUCGAUCAUUAAUCAAACCCAAAAUUUCUAAUUUUUUCAACCAUCCCUUUUAAUCUCAUUUUCCAUUUUUUUUCUGUUGUCAGUGUGCGUAUGUUUUGUGACAAAGUAUUGUGUCUAUCAUUCUGCUGUGUAUGAAUGCAUAACAUAUAUAUGGUAGAGUACUGCAUGAGCAUGUGUUAUUUUUUAAAGUCUAUUUUUUUUUUGCAUGCAUGCAUGGAUACUUUGUUAAGUAUGAUUUAUGACACAACUACAUACAUUAAUUGCAUAUCAACUUUACAUCUUUUUAACAUUAAUAGUUUUUAAAAAUUAUCUCAUUAAAAUUCAAAUUGAUCUAAUUUUCAUUAUUUUACAAAGUAGAACACGAGUUACAGAUCAAGAUGUAGACACAAAUUACAUACAAAUAAUAAACUACACAUAAUAAAUAAUAUAAAAAGCCAUGAAAAUAACUUUAUUCAUGCUUCAAUUCACAAAGAAUAUCGUAAAAUAAACAGUACGAAUUGGAUAAGAACCUGUGUGAUGAAUUAAACCAAGCAAAACGUCGUUACCGAAAACUUUAAACGGAAUUUCAAACUUAAACUCUAACUUUUCUCUCCUUUAUCUAACACUUUUUUUUUAUUUGGGUCUUCUCCUUUUCCUUCUCACUGUUCUCGUCUCUAUUCACUUUGAUUUUUUUUUUUUCAGUUUUUUUUUUUCAGCCUUUUUUUUUUUUUUUUUUUUUCCCUGCUGUUUUUUUUUUUUGGUUUUUCCGUCCCCUCUCCCUAAGUAUAGUAUUGUGUGUAAUAUAUAAGGUGUAGGGGUUGAGAAGUUGAGGGAGUUGGAGGAAAAUUAGGAGGUGGUUAGGGUAGGUUAGGAUAGGAUAGAUUUUUUUUUUUAAAAGAUAAUAAUAAUAACAAAAAAUAAUAAAAAGUACUAAAAUUACUAACUUAUUUCUUUUAAAAGAAACAUAUUUUAUUUUUUAUUUUUGUAGUAUUUUUUUUUAAAUUGGAAUAAAAAUAAAAUAAUAUCUUAAAAUUAACUUCAUUUAGAUAUUUACCUUUUAACUAAAAGUUUAUUAAAAUAAAAUAAGAAUUUAAAUAAUAUUAUAUCAAAUAUAAAUAUUUAAUAUUAAAAAAUGUAUAUAUUAAACUCGGGAGGGUCAAAAUCACGUGUCUACAUUUGCCCCUCUUUGUUUGAAAUGUCGAAGAGUUUUCAUACAAAGAAGUAGACAAAUAGAUGACUUUUGACACUCUGAAUAUUCUAAAAGUAAAGAUAAAAUAAAAUAAAAUAAAAGAUGUGACCGAGUCCUGGUUUUGGACCACCUAUAUAUCUCGGGUUUUAAGGGAAUCAGGUCACAUGUAGUUCAAAGGUAAAAAGUGAGAGAAAAAGAUAAAGGUCAAGUGAGAUUCCGUCGAAUUUUCGGUUAACAACUUUUGUCUUUUACAUUCAAAUGACUAUAAAAAAUAAGAUGAAAUGAAAAUUGCAAUAUCAGGAAUCUUGAUUCAAAUCUUCAUGUCUUGAACUUGAAAAUUCACCCUAUUCUUCGGCGGGCUCCUGACUUUCAAUUUCUUCACCCUAUUCUUUAGGCAGACUCCUGGACUUCUAAUUUCUUCACCUUGUUCUUCAGGCGGGCUCCUGGACUUGUAAUUUCUUCACCCUAUUCUUCAUGCGGGCUCCUGAACUUUCUCUUUCUUCACCCUGUUAUUCAGGCGGGCUCCUAGACUUUCUUUUUCUUCACCCUGUUCUUCAGGAGGAUUCCUGGACUUCGUUUUUUUCUGAGUUUUCAAAUAUGUUCCUGAACUCAAAAUAAAAAGUGAAACAGAAAAAUAACAUCCCAUUCUUCAGGAAGGUCCUGGACAUUAAAUAAAUUCCCAUUCUUCAGAAGGGUCCUGAGCAAAAACUAAAUUCCUAUUCUUCAGGAGGGUCUUGUGCAAAAAUAAAUUCCUAUUCUUCAGGAGGGUCCUGUCCUAUUCUUCAAGAAGGUCCUGAGCAUAAAAUAAAUUCCCCAUUCUUCAGGAGGGUCCUGUCCCAUUCUUCAGGAGGGUCCUAAGCAUAAAAUAAAUUCCCAUUCUUCAGGAGGGUCCGAUCCCAUUCUUUUGGAGGGUCCUGGGCAUAAAUAAAUUCCUCAUUCUUCAGGAGGGUCCUGAGCAAAAAGUAAAUUCCCAUUCUUCAGGAGGGUCAUGAGCAUAAAAUAAAUUCCUCAUUCUUUAGGAGGGUCCUGUCCCAUUCUUCAGGAGGGUCCUGAUCAUAAAAUAAAUUCCUAUCUUCAGGAGGGUCCUAUCUCAUUCUUCAGGAGGGUCCUGAGCAUAAAAUGAAUUUCUGUUCUUCAGGAGGGUCCUGUCCCAUUCUUCAGGAGGGUCCUGUGCAUAAAAUAAAUUCUAGUAAACACGAACAAAAUUUUGUUCCAGUUUGCACUAGUAAAUUUUGUGAGUGUCAUCAGAUCAAACCUUUUGAAAAGUACAGUAAAGAGUGUGAAUCAAAGCUCUGCUAAAGAAAUGCGUCUCAUCAGAGUAAAACUGAUGACCAAAAUUAGGAAGUGUGUCUCCUAAGAGUUAAAUUGAAGGACUCGACUGGAAAGUGCAUCUUCUAAGAGUGAAUGUUCAAGUUAGGAAGUGCUUCACCUAGCAAAUAAAAACUAACUUAUUCAGACUAGGAAGUGCGUCUUCUAGGGGUUAAAUGAAAUGACUCGACUAGAAAGUGCGUCUUCUAGGAGUGAAGGUUCAAGUUAGAAAGUGCUUCACCUAACAAAUAAAAACUAACUUACUCAGACUAAGGAGUGCAUCUACUAAGAGUUGAAUGAAAUGACUCAACUAGAAAGUGCGUCUUCUAGGAGUGAAGGUUCAAGUUAGAAAGUGCUUCACCUAACAAAUAAAAACUAACUUACUCAGACUAAGGAGUGCAUCUACUAAGAGUUGAAUGAAAUGACUCAACUAGAAAGUGCGUCUUCUAGGAGUGAAGGUUCAAGUUAGAAAGUGCUUCACCUAACAAAUAAAAACUAACUUACUCAGACUAAGGAGUGCAUCUACUAAGAGUUGAAUGAAAUGACUCAACUAGAAAGUGCGUCUUCUAGGAGUGAUGGUUCAAGUUAGGAAGUGCAUCACCUAACAAAUGAAACUAGACAUACUCUACCUAGGAAGUGCGUCUCCUAAGGGUUAAUUGAAAUAACUCAACUAGAAAGUGCAUCUUCUAGAAGUUAAAGCUCAAGUUAGGAAGUGCAUCAGCUAACAAAUGAAUAAUAACUUACCUAAACAAGAAAGUGCAUCUCCUAGGGGUAUAGGAUGAUGAGUUUUCACUAUGAUUGUGAUUACUAAAUAUGUGUAAAAAUAUUGCCUCUUGCAUUUGCAAAAGUGAGAAAUUUCAUCUUGUUGAUAUCUAAACUUUAAAGCAUUUGAAUUGAGGGCAAAUUUCUCUCUAUUUCAAACAAAGACCAAUUAUAAUUUUAAAACGUGGUGGUUGAUUUGUGGCAUAUGGCUAUUGAGGUGACUACUCUUGCAUGGUCAUACUCAGCUCAAUUUCAAUCAUUGAUAAGUAUCGUUGACUUGUUGUAGUAUUGACCCCAAUUUCUGACUACCAAAACCAUUUGUCUCAAAUCUUAUUUCUCUUGCAUGAUGCCUCUAGGUUUAACUUCAAAUAUAUCCCUUAUAUUUCCAUGAGUCCAAAAACUGUCGGGUAACAAGCAUUCUUAAAUACUUUGCUUUAUUUUUGAAACAUGUCAUCUUUGUGUGUCGACCCUUUGUCUUGCUUUGCACAACUGAAGUAGUUGGUAUCAAGUCUUGAAGUUUUUUCUCACUUAUUUUGACAUAAAUUUGACUCAAAAUACGUGAAAGAUGACGAUAUUGAUUUUUCAUUUGACGACAGAUACACAAAAUAGAAAAAAUAAUAAUAACAAAAAGAAAAGAAAAAGAUAAUAGAGAUCCUUUUUUUUUUCAAAAAAUGAAAGAAAGAAAAACUUCUCUACCCAAACUAUGACAUGCAUUUUGAAUUAAACAACCUGAUCUAGCCAAACUAAUCACUAUCACUUUUUGCCCACUUAUUGAAUUUGAAAAGGAGUCAUUCUUGAACUUGUUCCUUCUAGAUUACAAUCCUCCUUAGGCUAGUGACAUGACCUCGAUGGGUUUUCGACAACAAGUCGCUCCCAUUUUCUUUUCUUUUUCAACUCAGUGUCGUCUUAUGGUGCCCAUGAAGACUUUACCAAUAAGACUCUCAUUUUUAUUGAUCUCACAACUCACGGUCGCCUUAUGAUGCUCAAAAGAGUUUUCACCAAUAAGACUCUCUCAUUUUUAUUUUUUUUUAGAAAAUAACACUCAAAAUAUGUAGUAUCAUACACCCAUAACAUGCUUAGCCUUGACAUUUUCAAAGAUUGAUUUGAAGGUCUUUCUUUGGUUGUAACUUGACUUUUGGAAUAGGAUAGAAAGAAAGGUCGGCAUGGGGCUCAAAAUUGACACAAUGUUGGGUAAAAUAUACAACUUUUGGAAUCGACUCUUUUAAAAAAAUAAACUUUUGCCCCAGUUUUAUUUCAUUUUGGGUAACUUAAAUUUUCUUUUGGUUGGACCGAACCCCAGAGUAGGGCUACCUACGUAUCUUGUCAUAGCAAGAUUCGGGUCAAAUGUAGUUCAGGAAAGUCAUUCUCUAGUUGUUUUUUUUAAUGAACCUGGGAUCUCAUUUUUCUUUUCUUUGAUUCUUCUCUUUUUGAGAUUUCUUUUUUCACGUCCACUUUUUUUUUAACAUUUUUUUUCUGAUUACAUUUUCUUCUUGAUAUUUUUUCUGAUUUCAUUUUUUCUUGACAUUUUUCUAACUCCAUUUUUCUUGACACUCUCUUUUUUAUUUUUCAAACUCUAUUUUGAUUCUAAAAGAGGGGUACAAAAUAAAAUAAAAUUAAAGCUCAAAAGGGGUAACAAAGGAUGACACAACAUUUGGAUAGCAGAAUGAAAUGUCUUCGUCAUAUCAAUCUUUAAAAAUACAAGCACUUAACAUGAAAUCUGUGAGUGAACAUAAAGAUCAUGUAUAUUUUUUUUCAAUAUUGACCUUGACUGAAUACGUAUGUCACUAUUUCUCAUGCACUUGUCAAACAGAAAGGUCCAAUUGUAUUCACAUUUCUCUCAUUAAAGGACUCGUGCAUUUUUAAGCUUCCUGACAAUGGAUACUAUAUAUCUUCUAAUCGCUUUCAUCUAAAGUGUUUGAGAUUGACCUUCUAAUUGAUGACCAAGUCAUUUUUGAUUCACAAAGUGAUUGUUUCAAUCCAUUCAAGUGAGGCUUUAACUCACUCAACAAACAUCUCAACAUUUUACUUAUUUCCUUACAUGAUUUUUCCUUUCAACUCUAUCUUCCUAAUCAAAUGUUUCAGGAUUAGAUUAGGUUUUAAGAUAUGAUGAAAAUUCAUCAUGCAUAUUGUAUCAUUAGAAUCACCAUAAAAGAAUUGUAUGAAGAAAAAGAAUGACAAAUAAACAAUAUUUAUUAAAAAAAAAAUAGAAAUAAAGGGACGCACAUUUUGUUGACAGAAAUACAAAAGGGUUUGAACAAAGACGAUAAGAACUAAGAUAAGAUAAAUCCCAAACUACAACCCUAAAAUAAUUCGGAUAGCAAAAAGAAAAAUAAAACAGACUACCAAAAAUUCCUUAUCGUGAGGAGUGAAGAUUGACUUCUAAAUUGCCGAGCUUAAUAUUUUAGCCAUUGAUUUGCACGUUGACCUUAAUGGAGUCUCCACCCUCAUUGCGACAUCAUCUAUUUUUUUCCAACCAUUCUGAAGUUAUCACCAUUAAAGUCUCUUCAAAGUAAAUCGUCAGCAGUUUCUCUUUUUCCUUACUUCUCACAAUUGAUUUCAAAACCUUUUUAGAUAAGUCAAAGGAUGACCAUGACCCUUGUACAUGUCCAACUUUGGUGUUUUAGAGGUUAGAGGCAAGUAAACAUUGAAACAUGUAAAAAUUCUUGUGAGAAUUCUCUUUCUCUCCCUCUCUCUUAAUAUUUGCAUGUUUCUCAUAUUUUACUCCAAAUUUCUCACUUUUCAAGCCAUUUCUUCUUACUCCUCAUUUCUAACAGUCUACACCAAUUCUUCUCAGACCCUAUAUCAUUUUUUUGUGGGUCAUCUUCCUUAUUCUUUGAAUAUGGUAUUGUAUUGGUGAGAUGCCAACUUAGCUACAAACCAACGACCUUAACACUAUUUUGAUUUUGGAGAAAAUUAAUGUGUCAGAGUUCAAAAUUUUUUUUUAAGACCACUGAAUCCAUGAAGGACUGCCUGCGUAUCUCUUUAAGAUGAGAAUCAGGUGUGCGUAGUUCUUGAAAUAUAUGUCGUACAAAAUUCAGCCUCAAGACCCCUAAAGGUUCAGAGCUAUUAUAUAUAUAUAUAUAUAUAUAUUGUAAAAACUUAGCCUCAUUAUCCCUAAAGAUUCAGGGCUGUUAAAAUUUAUAAGUUUUUAUUUAUUUUGUAAAAACUUAGCCUCAUGAUCCCUAAAGAUUUCUGGCUAUUGCAAUAUAUUUUUAUUUUAUUAUUAUUUUUUUUGGUAAAACCUUAGCCUCAUGAUCCCUAAAGAUUCAGGGCUAUUAAGAUAUAUAUAAAAAUUGGACUUGAGAAUUAGAAAAAUAAUUAUGAAAGUAAUCAUAUUUUAAAAAUAUUUCUCAAUAAAUCUAUGAAUAAAUUUUUAAAUUACAGGGUCGUAUCCUGGGAAGGACUUCCUAUGUAUCUCACUAAGAUGUGAGAAUCAGACCCUCGUAGUUCAUAAAGAAGCUAUUAUAUAUAUAUAUAUAUAUAUAUUGUAAAAACUUAGCCUCAUUAUCCCUAAAGAUUCAGGGCUGUUAAAAUUUAUAAGUUUUUAUUUAUUUUGUAAAAACUUAGCCUCAUGAUCCCUAAAGAUUUCUGGCUAUUGCAAUAUAUUUUUAUUUUAUUAUUAUUUUUUUUGGUAAAACCUUAGCCUCAUGAUCCCUAAAGAUUCAGGGCUAUUAAGAUAUAUAUAAAAAUUGGACUUGAGAAUUAGAAAAAUAAUUAUGAAAGUAAUCAUAUUUUAAAAAUAUUUCUCAAUAAAUCUAUGAAUAAAUUUUUAAAUUACAGGGUCGUAUCCUGGGAAGGACUUCCUAUGUAUCUCACUAAGAUGUGAGAAUCAGACCCUCGUAGUUCAUAAAGAUUGUAAAAACUAUGUUGUUGUAUAUUUAAAAGUUUUCUUUAUUUUUUUUUUCAAAAAUAAAAUUUUUCUUUCAAAAAUGAUUAACUAAAUUUGUGGAUAAAUUAAUCUCUCGCAUUUUAAAAUUGCCUAAAGUCGGUCAACAAAUAAAUAGCCUUCCAAGUAAAUGUCAAAGAGCACAUAGGAUGCACAUGUUGGUCUUUAUAAAUUAGGUCACCUCUCCUAGACAGAUCCGGCCCUUGUGCCGAGUCCCGCUAAGUCAAAUGCAUAUGAUCCAAAUAAAGCGGCACUUAAUAAGGAUAAACAGAUUCUGAGUUUUCAGUUCUUCUAAGUUAAAACCUAAUAGGGAUAGGUGUCUAGACUGGUUUACUAGAGCAGACACUCGAGCCGGGGAGGGACAACUUGGUCGGUAGCAGGGCAACACCGCCGUCGUUGCCGAUCCGAACCCCGCCUAACAUGUGUGACUAUAUCCUUCACCAGGUGCUUUGACACUCCGAUUAUCUCAAAAAGAAGGUGGGAUGCAUAUGUUGCAUUCCCUCUAUCCUAUUUUAGAGACUCAGAGGGGGUACGCGAGAGAAGACAAUAUAUAAUACAUUUCAAAUAUUAUCAAAGCAGUAAGUGAGCAACAAGUAGCACAUAAGGCUGACAAAUACAAUAUCAACAAUAAUUAAAGCAAGUAUAAGUCAAUUAUGUAAAGCUCGAAUUCUUGUUAUUUCCCCAGCAGAGUCUCCAGAGAUGUCACACCUCUUUUUUGCCCGAAGGGAUCGAGUUGAAGGGUUUUUCCAGUUAAAGUGACGAUAUUGAAUAGGGAUUAAUUUAAUUACAGAGUCGCCACUUGAAAUUGAGUUAAUCUCAUUUUCCAUUUUUUUUUCCUGUUGUUAGUGUGUGUAUGUUUUGUGAAAAAGUAUUGUGUCUAUCAUUCUGCUGUGUAUGCAUGCAUAACAUAUAUAUGAUAGAGUACUGCAUGAGCAUGUGUGUGUUAUUUUUUAAAGUCUAUUUUUUUUUUUUUGCAUGCAUGAAUGCUUUGUGAAGUAUGAUUUAUGACACAACUAUAUACAUUAAUUGCAUAUCAACUUUACAAUCUUUUUAACAUUAAUAAUUUUUAAAAAUUAUCUCAUUAAAAUUCAAAUUGAUCUAAUUUUCAUUAUUUUAUAAAGUAGAACACGAGUUAUAGAUCAAGAAGUAGACACAAAUUACAUAUAAAUAAUAAACUACACAUAAUAAAUAAUAUAAAAAGUCAUGAAAAUAACUUUAUUCAUGCUUCAAUUCACAAAGAAUAUCGUAAAAUAAACAGUAUAAAUUCGAUAAGAACCAGUGUGAUGAAUUAAACCAAGCAAAACGUCGUUACCGAAAACUUUAAACGGAAUUUCAAACUUAAACUCUAACUUUUCUCUCCUUUAUCUAAUAUUUUUUUAUUUGGGUCUUCUCCUUUUUCUUCUCCCUGUUCUCGUCUCUAUUCACUUUUUUUUUUCUAAGUAUUGUAUUGUGUGUAAUAUAUAGGGUGUAGGGGGUUGAAAAGUUGAGGGAGUUGGGGGAAACUUAGGGGGUGGCUGGGGUAGGUUAGGAUAAGAUAAAAUUUAAAUUUUAAAAAAAGAUAAUAAUAAUAACAAAAAAUAAUAAAUAAACAAAAUAAUAAUAAUAAAAUAAUAAAAAAUAAUAAUAAUAAUAUAAUAAUAAAUAAUUAAUUUUUAUAUUUAAGAAAAUACAAUAAAAGUUUAAAAAUAGCAAAAAGUAAAUAUAAUUAAGAUAGUACUAAAACUACUAACUUAUUUCUUUUAAAAGAAACAUAUUUUAUUUUAUUUUUUUGUAUUUAUUUUUUUUAAUUGGAAUAAAAAUAAAAUAAUAUCCUAAAAUUAACUUCAUUUAGAUAUUUACCUUUUAACUAAAAAUUUAUUAAAAUAAAAUAAGAAUUUAAAUAAUAUUAUAUUAAAUAUAAAUAUUUAAUAUUAAAAAAUAUAUAUUUCAAACACGGGAGGGUCAAAAUCAUGUGUCUACAACUACUACUUCGAUUUAAUGGUUGUUAAUGAAUAAAAAGGGAUGGUCUGCUUUGUUAAAUAUUCCUUAUGCAUACAUAAUGAAUAAUUUAAGAGGAAUUCGGAUUUUGAAUGAACCUCAAAAUCCGAGGAGGAUAAAGUGUACUUGAUUAAAGUUAUAACUAUUAGAUUUUAUGUAUUUAUAAGAUGUAACAACUCGAUAAAAAUUAAAGACCACAAAUUUGAAGGACAAAAUUUAAAGCCAGGGGCAACCCCGCGAAUGACACAUAAUCAAUGCAUGUUCCUCUUUUCUUCUUUAAAUUUUUAAUUUUUUUAUGUAGGUUUAUAUUUCUUGAAGUUUAAAUUAGCAUGAUACUAUCAAUUAAAAAAUAAAUUAAGCUAAAAUUAUACUAUCAUAUGUAAAAUUGUUUAAAACUAAUAUUUGAAAUUUAGAGAACCUAAUAUAUCUGCAAUAUUAUAACAACAAUUAAUUUAUUAUUUAUUUUCUAUCAAAAUAUUCUAAAUACCGUUAUUUAAAAUCUCCCAUUGAAAAAAUUCAUCCAAAUUCAAGAUUAAUCUUAAUUUUUAUUUAGUCCAAAAUGUAUGUAGUAUGAAAAAAGAUAAAAACUUGGUUGAUCAAUAAUUGAUCAAACGGUGAACUUUCUUUGAAAUCAACUCGAUAAAUCAAAGUCAAGCUCGAUAUUUUUGGUGAUCAAACACAUCACAUGGAGGUACAAAAUUCCACAUUCUGGAAUCACGAAAAAAUUUGGAACGAAGAACCAAAGAAGAAAAAUAUACUAUAAAAUUGUACUCACAAUCUUGAUAAAUAAAAUCAUUUCAUUUAUUUAUUUUGUAUUUUGCAACUUACAUUUGAUAUAUAUAUAUAUAUAUACUAGAUAUCAGAACCCGUGCUAGCACGGGCCCAAUGUGCUACUUUUCAAAUAUUAUAUUCUAUUUUUUGUCUCAAUUUAUAUGUUGCUAAUGGAAUAUUUGAGAAAGUCAAUCAGAUUUAUUAUAUAUAGUUUUAGAUAUUUUAAGUUGUUAAUUAUAUUAUGAUUUAUACGACUUUCAGCGUAAUUUUCAAGUAAUAUCCUUUUAUCCUAAUUAAUAUGACAUCGAUAACUAUUGUAAUCUAUAAUACUUUUUCGACGUUGUAAUUUACUAUUUUAAGUUGUUUGCUAUUGUAACUUAUAAUACCUUUCUUGUUCAAACUUUGUGGUAUUGAUAGUGAAUUUAGACUUUAAAAGUAAUUUUAAUUUUUAUUAUUGUAAUUUAUAAUAUUUUUUUAUUUCAAUUUAAGCGACACUGAUAUAAUUUCAACAGUAACCAAAUAUCACGAUUGAAAUAGCGAAACUGACACGUCUUGAAUGACUCAUAAUAACUAAUUAAUAGUUAUAUAACAAAAUAGAUAUAAAAAUUCUUGUGAAAAUUUUUUAAGCGAGCCUUACAUAAGAUGUCAAAUUAAUUUAAAACAUCAAGAUUAUCAAUUUUUAAAUACUUAAAUGACUCAUAAUAAUUAAUUAUAGGUGAUAUAGUAAAAUUACAGUUGAAGCAGCUGNNNNNNNNNNNNNNNNNNNNNNNNNNNNNNNNNNNNNNNNNNNNNNNNNNNNNNNNNNNNNNNNNNNNNNNNNNNNNNNNNNNNNNNNNNNNNNNNNNNNNNNNNNNNNNNNNNNNNNNNNNNNNNNNNNNNNNNNNNNNNNNNNNNNNNNNNNNNNNNNNNNNNNNNNNNNNNNNNNNNNNNNNNNNNNNNNNNNNNNNNNNNNNNNNNNNNNNNNNNNNNNNNNNNNNNNNNNNNNNNNNNNNNNNNNNNNNNNNNNNNNNNNNNNNNNNNNNNNNNNNNNNNNNNNNNNNNNNNNNNNNUAUAUAUAUAUAUUUCAUUACUUUACUACUAUUAUAUAUAAGAGAGAAUGUGAAAUUUUGAUAGUUCUCACAUCAUUUUUUUUUGUCAGUUUUAUUUCUAAUUUAAAUUUUAAUUACUCUACCAAUUUUUAUCCAUUUUGGUAAAUUUGAACAAUUAUAUGAGUUUAUUAAUGCAACCAAAGUGAUGAGUAAUUAUAGUGAUACUAUAAAAACUAUUUAUACAAUGAAAUUCAAAAUUUAUCCAAGGGUUGUAUGAAAUGUUUAUUAAUCUUACUUCAAAUUUUUAUUCCUAACAAAUUUAUCAUGAACAAGUAAUUAGAGUAUUUUGACAUUCCCUUUCUAACUUAGUACAUGCUUAAUUAUUAAAUAAAAAAUUAUUUUUUAUGUAUAGCUAAAAAUGUUUGAAAAUUUAAUUUUUUAAAAAAUAUAAUUUAACCCUCCAAAUAUUAAUGAUACUAAAUGAUGAAAAAUGGAAGUAAUUCUUUUUCAUAUUUUUUGAUGAUGAAUGUUUUUAACAAAAAGUGAAAUUAUCAACAUUUUAUAGAAUUUAGGACAAAUAAAUAAUUUAACAUAAAAUAUUAAAACUUCAUACUUUAAUAAAUAUCAACAUAAAUUUUUUAACAUGUAUUUUUAGGAAAAAAAACUACUAAGGUUAAAAAAUAAAUAGUUUCAAUUUCUUUUGUAUGGUUUAAUAUGAAGGAAAAUAAUUAAGUUAAAUAAGGUGAAGAGUAUUUUUGUAAACAAAUUAUUUUUAAAAAGAAUGCAAUGUAUAUUAAUUUUAGUACCACAAAUCAAAUAACCACUAACAAGUAAUGCCAGCAUAACUAAUCCCAUGACAACUACUUUCAGUAUAACUUAUCCCAGCAUAACUUGUUUCCAAACCAAAUGACCCCUAAAAGUUUAACGACCGUAAGGACAAAAAUUAAUGUAACACUACAUGUAAUUUUAUAAGUGGGCCUAAAGAAAGUGGGGAUAGAAAAGUUGUUUCUAAUAGAUUAUCGAUCGAAAAUUAAUUUAAACAGUUGAAAUUGGCUAGUGAUUUCCGUUUUGGUUGUAGUAUUUGCUAAUUAGUGAUCUCAUUUUUGGAAAUUUCCGAGUGUACUUAGAAAUUACUCUACAUACUUAACAAAACAACGAUCUAAAAGGGAGGGUAAAGCCAAAGGAAAAUAAAAUAAAAUCUCUAACGUGAUAUUUUAUCAUAAUUAGUAGUAAGGAUUUAUAUAACAUUUUUGAUCCUUUCAGUAUGAGUAAAUUCUGAUUUUGAUCCUUAUACAUUUAUCAAUAAGAGCUGUGAUAGAUUGGUAAGUAAUUCUUCAUUUAAUAAGAGGUCUUGGAUUAAUUUAAUCCCUUUAUGGAGGAAAUAUGUUAUCUAUUUAAAUUAUUUUUAGAAGUACAUUACCCUCAAAUAUGAUUAACAAUACACGUUUAACAUAACACAUGAGUAAUUUUAAAACGGUUCGCAUGCCAGAAAAUUUGUAAUCAUUCAUAAAUAAAAGGAUUAAAGAGAAGCACAUUCCAAGUUGUUGGAGAUUAAAAAUACUUCGUCAAAUAGAAGUAUCACAAAACUAGAAUUAAAAACAAAUUCAAUAAUUAAGGGAUCAAAAGUCCUAUUAAUCCUAGUAGUAAACAAACCAUAGUGAUUUUUUUUCAUUUUUUUUGAGUUUGAUUCUGAUCUUAUAUAGUUGACUAGGUAAAACUACUUUUAAUUUAGUUUUUUUUAGGUUACACUACACUACUUGCUAUAUGAUCGUUCUACUUUUAGGUAUCUAGAGUUAAUUGCACAAAACUUAUUAAUUUUGUAUAGGUUUGAAGAAAUUCAACCACUCAUUUAUGUGGAUCAAUCCGAAUUCAUAUCAAGAAAUAAAUAAUAUAGUAUUAUUUAUAUUAUUAAUAAAUAAUAAGGGAGAAAAGUCAUAUUUUUUCAGAAAAGAUAAAAAGCGAAAAAUAGAAAACGAAAAAAACGUUUCUUUUUCUGUUUUUUCUCUUUCUGCAAAUACUCUCUUCUACUUGUGUGAAGAAUUUUAGUGAGAAGAUUUCAAUGAAGAUCAAGAUAUCUACAUCAAAACAUUCGAAACAAGCUUCUGUAAUGGGUAUGAUUUUAGACUGUAAUUUUAUAUGGUGUAGUUCUUUUUUUGUAUGUGAUUACAUUAUUAGACUAGUAAAAUAAUAUUUAAUGAUCCUGCAAACUAUGUGUUUGAUUAGAUUCUUCAUUAACAUUAGAAUAUAUGUUAAUUUUUUUGAUUUUCUUGUUAUAUGCCUUCACUGAUAGAAAGAAUGUGGUUUAACAAUAAUGGCUAACAUGGUAUGUGGUUUUUUUUCCUUAAAAAUUAUCAUUGGUGGUGAUUUAGAAAAAUUAAAGCCAUUGUUUUCUUCAUAACGGACUUGGUUAUUCUCGACAAUAUUGUUGGGUUCGAAAUCGAAAGCACAUUAUGCGGAAGCUAUUAGUUGCAAACCAUGAGAUGAUAAAUACAAAGAAAACUAAACUAAAAACAUAAUAUUAUUGAUAUGUUUUGGCCAAUUGGCCUACAUAUUAUAAAACCUAAUAUCAAAACAUUAAAUCUAUUGGGAAAUCUCCCCUUAAACAAAGACUCUUUAAUGACUACAUUGUGGAUGCUAUUGUGUUAUGGUAUGAGAAGGGGUCUUCUAUUUAUAGAUGUCCAAAACCUUGCCUCCAAGAAAGAGGUUAGCCAAAUAUGAAAAAGAAUUUUACUUUUUCUUUCAGGAAAAGUAAAAGUAAUUAUGGUAACUUUUAUUUUCCUUUGAAGAAAAAGUAAAACUUAAAUAUAGUAAGAAAAUCAGUGCAAAAACCCUAACAAAUAUUGGUGUCGUAAAAUAUUUCUUGCUCCAAAAAAAAAGUGAAUAUGACUAAGCCCAAGUGCUAUAAUUGUGAGAACAAAUUACAUUUUGCUCGUGAUUUCCUGAGCCUAAAAAGGCAUACUAUCUUAUUUAUAAUUUACAUAGUGAUGUAAAAUGUUUUUGUUAUAUUUUUUUAACUGUAUCACUUCCUAUGUGGAUUGUCGACUCAGCAGCCAUCGAGUAUAUAGCGAUGGAAAAAGAUACUUUCGUAGAUUUUUGACGAAUUCCACAAGAAUCCAAAUGGAUAUAUCUAGAAAAUAAUUCCAGAGAGGAGGUCAAAGGGAUUGGUACCUGCAAACUUGAAAUGCAUGGUGGUCGAACUCUAUAUCUACAUGAUGUACUAUUUAUCCCAAUAAUAAAGCGAAAUCUAGUUUCUGUCAGAAUGUUGAUUAAAAUUAGGAUUUAAUUUUUCUUUCAUGAACAUGAUAUGAAUUUGUAUAUGGCCGGAUAAAAUAUGAUACUAGUUAUUUUUAUGAUCGAUAUUUUGUGUUGCAUGUUAUUUAAAGUCCCAAUAAUAAAAAUAUUAGUUUUUUCUUGUUUAUGUCAACUUUAAAUUAUGAAAAUGAUGUAAAUAUAUGACAUGUUAGGCUUGAUCAUAUUGAUCAAUAAAAAAUGAACCACCAUUACUAGAAAUUGAGCAUAUGACAACAUAUUUUUUGACAACGAUUGCAAAUUCGUUGCUAUAGAGUGUUUGGUGUACAUCAAAGUGACACCACUUUAAGAAGGUCUUUCACAAGAAGUCAAGUUAAGGACCUUCAAGUAUUUCAUUUCAAGCUUUAUGGAUGAAAAUAGAAUCUUUGGAAGGUUCCAAUAUGGAUGACUUGAAGAUAUUUAUUAUACUAAGUGUCUACCAUUUAACUACCUUGUAAUUUAAAUGAAAGGCAAUUUGGUCUUUCUUCACUUCUUUUAACCCUUAGUAUUAAUAUCUCAUUUUGUUUGAAGCGGGCCAAAUAGAGAAUGAAAUGCAUAAAAAAAAAUAGGGGAAGGAAGUCAGAGACUCCUUUUUUUUUGGUUUAAGGGCUGCUCAAAAAUGCUUCAGCUGAGGAAUCAUGCUAUUUACAUGAUUCAACUUACUCUUCUCAGGAAGCUCCUAAUCUCACUGGCAGUUGAAUCAUGUCAUUUAGGUGAUUAGCUAUUAGUGUUGAACUACUAGUUUUUGAAGAUUCAAUAUUUUGUGCCUCCUUUGCAAGCUUGAGAAUCCUUUGUUGAUUUUCAACACUUGACCUAGAAUUUGCAAGUAAGGUUACUACCUUCUUGAGGAUUUUAAUAGAUUAGGUGCUUUUAGUUCUCAAUUAAGAGGGUGUUUUGGUUAGUUCACUAUUAUAUCUUUUAAUUGUUUGAAUCUAAUUGUGUCUAUCUUCCUUUAAUUUUUAUUGUUAAUUUCUAUCUUGCUUCUAUAUUCUUAUUUUACGUCAAAUUGGUAUCAAGAGGUAGGAUUAGAUUUGUUUGCACAAAUCUAAGUUUUGGAGUUUUGAUUUUUUUAAAAAAAGAAAAAAUUCAAAAAAAAAAGAUCGAAUUUGAUUGAAAGUUGUUUGAUAUUAUUCCUUGAGUUAUAUGUUGUUGUUUUCUAGUUGAAAAAAAAAAAAGAAUACAUGACUCAAAAAAAAUUGAAAGUGAUGAUGAAGAAGAAACAUGAAAAUGAGUUUUAUUGAUUAGGUGCUUGGUUGAAGAAAUUAUUGGUUAGAAGUUGUUGAUAGUGUUGUGGGGAAGUUAUACCUCAAACUGGAGCUCAUUUGCUUGGGUAUUGAAGAAGAUGAAUUUGAGAAUUACAAAAUAAUCCAAAUCAUUCAAACUUGUUUUCUCUUCUUUUCUUGUUAGUUCUAGCUAGUAUACUUUGAGUAUUAAUUCAUACUUAAUGUUAAAUUAGUUUGUGUCCGCUUAUUUUAUUUGUGUCUAAUUUUUGCGUGUUUCUUCACUCAUUUCAUUGUAUGCUUAUUUAUAUCCUUGUCUGUUAGUUUUAAUUGUCCUUUCUUGACUACAUAAAUUUCACUCCAUUCCGAAGAAGUAGUAUCACUUGUGAAUUAUUUGACGGCGUUGACUCUCAAUCUUGGGUUAUUCGAGAGUGAAACAAGCAAGAGUGAGGUGAGUUCAUUUGAGAGUGACCUUAAAAUCCUUUGGCCUUAGAGUGAUACACGAGUAUGAGUGACAAAAAGAGAAAAAUAUGAUGUGAGUGAGUAGUGAGGAACUCUUUUUACUAACUUUUAAAAUUUAUUUUGUAGGUACAAUGACUCAAUUUGAGAGAGAAUCCUCUAGCAAAAUAGAAAUUUUGCUUUAAAAAUUAUUGAAAGAAAUGAAGGAAAAAUUGGAAGAUGUGGAUAGAAGGGUGAGAACAAAAAUUAGCAAAGCAACGACUUGAGGUUUUCAAUCUCAUUAGUCAACAUGAUGAGGGAUCAAGUAAGACUCCUCUUGAUACAAUUCCAUCCCACAUGGUGGUGCAAGAUAUCCUCUCUCCUAAUGCUACUUUAUCAAAAAUUUGCAAUCAAGCAACACUUUUAAAGGAGGAAAAUUAACAAAGAAAUCUUCCACCACAAGUUAAUAAAACUCAAAUGAGAGCCCAACAUAACCAUGAAGAGUAUGAUUCUUUUGAUGGUGAUAAUUAUGAUUAUGGAGUCGAUGAUCAAGUUCAAAAAGAGAGGCUAGGUGGGAGAGGAAGAAGAAAACGGAAUGAAGGGUGGUAUCCGGUUAAUGGUUGAGAAUACAAUUGAAGAAAUGAUGAUAAAAUCGAGGAUUCAACAACAUCAAGGUUAUGUCACACCCCUUUUUUUUUUAACUAAAAAAGAUAUAAUUUUAAGUUUGAAAGAGUUUUUAUUAUUAAGUGACAAAAGAUGAAAUUUAUUUCGAAAAUGAUUCUUUUUCAUUUGAACUCAGAGUUGACACUUGGCAUAAAUUGGGUGUGCCAAGUCACCAUUGGAAAUUCUUUUAAAAAUGAUUUGACUCUAAAAACUGAUCCGCGAACAGAAAUUUUAGUUAAAGAAUUUUGUUGACCGAGGGGAAGGUGUUAGGCACCCAUCGAUCAAGUGGUUCAACCACAGUCAUUUUGUGGAGCAUAUUGGGUAGUGUGACACUACAAAAUACAUAAACAAACAAAACAUACAACGAGAAAACAAACAACCAAACAGUUAAAAGUCUGAAAAUAUAAUGUCCAGUCCAAUUUAUUACAUACCAAAAUAAAAAUACUGAAAUGAAAACCUAAACUAUCCUAGCUAUGAUUUACCCCAUGCCUCGGGUCUUAAUCACAAACCUCCAUUGCAUACAUGAUACUUUGGGGUAUUUACCGGUGAAUAAGUGCAAUGUGCCUCGGGGCAUUCCCCUACCAAAUAAGUACAAUUGCUCCGAAUGCGAUAAAACAAAACCAUUCAACAAAUAUUUCAAACAUUCAACAAUCAUUAGUUCUUAUGAUUUGCCUAACCGAUCUAAGAUUUGCCUAUUUAAGUGUCGGCCUAAAGCAUGCUACUACCGAAUUCAACAACAUCCAUCAAUAAAUUAAAAUAAUCAACAUUCACCUUAUUCGUUCUCAAUUCUCCCCAAAUUUUAUUCUCACUCUCAAUUAACUAAUUCUUCGACUAAUACUUUAAUUUUCCAAAAUUCAAAUUCUAACAUCAAAACCAUACAUACAACAAAGAUUCAAGCAUGCUAAACGCACAAACCAUUCACAAUCACAUAAAAAUUAAAGAAAGACAAAAAAGAAUUUGACCUUAAAUGCUUUUUUGAUUCAUCAGAUUCAAUUAAGACGAAUAUUGUCAGACCUCGAACAGAAAAACACGCUAAAUAAAAUUCGAUCCACACCAGACCUCGAUCAAAGAACCUUAACAAAUGGACUUAACAACUCGAAUGUAACUCGUCGAUGGUAAUUGUGUUAUUUCUGGCGAAACCUGCCAAAAUUAAUGCAAAGGAUGAGUUAAUUUUGGGAUAUUGUUGUCACUUCCAGGUCUGAUGAUGGCUUCUGCCGCUGGAACAAUGCAACAACGAUUGUGGAGGGGCGUUGUGUUACUGGUUUUAGGUAGGGUGGAACCGGUGGUUUUGCCGGAGCUCCGACGAUGAUGAAUUUCACCGAAACGACCUCUAUUUUUGUACUGUCAUCAUUUUGUUCCCUCUAAUUUCCCCUCUUUGAUUUUUUUACUCUCUCCAUUUCGAUCUUAAUGUGUGUGUGUAUUAAUGAACUCUUUGUGUGUAUUUACCGAUUGGUGUGUAAGUGUAAAAAAAUGAGAAUUUUCCCUAUAAUCUCUGAGUGGGUCUAUUAAUAGAGUCCCUCUCUAUCGAUGGUGUGGGCCUGUUAACGACGUCUCUUCCAAUCUCCGCAUGCUGUAUGUGUAUCCUCUGUAUAUGAGAGUGUGUGUCUGUGUAAAAUUCCAGUGAGUUCCUCCUCCUGUGAUGUGUAGUGUGCGUAUAUGUAGCUAUGUGUAUGAGUUGUGUGUAUGUGAGUUCCCAAUGGUGUAUUGUUGUUAUCUGUUAUAUUGCAAAAGGAGGAAAAAUGUGACAAGGGGAUAGGGCUAGGGGGUAUAGAGGUUGAGGGUUGGGUAGGGUAGAAAACUAUUAUUUUUGUUAGGGUGAGGUGGUUAAAUUUAAUUGAGUGGAGUGUUAAAGUUAUGGAUUUAGUUAUUUUUUAACCUUUUGGAAAAAAAUUAUGGAAUGGUGUGGGGUGUAUGGUAAGGUAAAUGAGUAAAAAUGAUAUCGGGGAGGGACAAAAUUAUGUGUCUACAACAUGCCCCCCUUUGAAUGUAAACACAAAAUAUUUUCAUACAAAGAAGUAGAUAACAAGACAAAAUUUUGACCCGAUUAUUAUUCAAAGGCAGAAAUAGAAAGAAGAAGGACAACCGAGUUGGGGAGUCGAGAGAGGUCCCAUCGAGGUUCUGGUCCGCGGCCUGUCAUUAAUCAAAAAUAAAAAUUAAAAAUUAAAAACACAAAUAAAAUUACAAAAGUCCUAUCUAUGUAGCUUCUCUUGACUCUUGACUUGAGUUUUUAAUGCUUUCAAAAUUGACAAAAGGACUGAUCUUCUUUGAGCUCUGAUGCUAGAGAUUAACUCAAAAACUGACCAUGUUCUGUCAGUGGUACUUCAGAAUUUGAACCCGAAUUUGAAAAUUUUCAUCCUAUUCUUUAGGCGGGCUCCUGACGUAUAAUUUCUUCACCUUGUUGCUUUACUUUCAAUUUCAUCACCCUUUUCUCCAAGCGGGAUCCUGACUUGCUACUUUUUAAUCUUUUGAUUUUCAAUUUCAUCACCCUGUUCUUCGGGAGGGCACCCAACUUGUAAUUUCCUUACUUUAUUGACUUUCAAUUGCUUCACCUUGUUGCUUGACUUUUAAUCUAUUCACCCUAUUCUUCAGGUGGGCUUCUGACUUGCAAUUGCAUCACCCUGUUUUUCAGGUGGGCUCCUGACUAGUGAUUUCAUUACCCUAUUCUCCAGGCGGGUUCUCGACUUACAAUUUCAUCACUUUGUUUUUCAAGUGGAUUUCUGACUUGCCAUUUUAUCUCCCUGUUCUUCAAGAGGGCUCCUGACUUACAAUUUCAUCACCUUAUUCCUCAGGCGGAGUCCUGACUUGCUAUUUUAUCACCCUAUUCUUCAGGUGGACUCCUGACUUGCUAUUUCAUCACCCUGUUCUCCAGAAGGACUCCUGACUUUCAAUUUUAUCACCCUGUUCUCCAGGCUGGCUCCUGACUUGCCAUUUCAUAACCCUGGUCUUCAGGCGGGCUCCUGACUUGCAAUUUCAUCACUCUAUUUUUCAGGUAGGCUCUUGACUUGCAAUUUAAUCACCCUAUUCUUCAGGAGGGCUUUUGACUUAUCAUUUCAUCACCCUGUUCUUCAGGCGGGCUCUUGACUUGCAAUUUCAUCAUCCUGUUCUUCAGGCAGGCUCCUGACUUGCUAUUUCAUCACCCUAUUCUUUAGACGGGCUCUUGACUUGCAAUUUUAUCACCCUAUUCUUCAGGUGGGCUCCUGACUUGCAAUUUCAUCACCCUGUUCUUCGGGAAGGCUCCUGACUUUUCAUUUCAUCACCCUAUUCUUUAGGCAGGAUCCUGACUUAUAAUUUCAUCACCCUGUUCUUCAGGCGGGCUCCCAACUUACCAUUUUAUCACCCUGUUCUUUAGGCGAGCUCCUGACUUGCAAUUUCAUUACUUUGUUAUUCAGGUGGGCUCCUGACUUUUCAUUUUAUCACCCUAUUCUUUAGGUAGGAUCCUGACUUGCCAUUUCAUCACACUGUUCUUCAGGUGGGAUCUUGACUUGCCAUUUCAUCACCCUGUUCUUCAGGUAAGCUCCUGACUUGCCAUUUCAUCACCCUUUUCUUUAGGCAGACUCUUGACUUGCAACUUAAUCACCUAGUUCUUUAAGUGGGCUCCUGACUUGUAAUUUCAUCACUCUGUUUUUCAGGCGGGCUCCUGAUGUGCAAUUUCAUCAUCCUAUUUUUCAGGCGGGCUCCUGACUUUUCAUUUAAUCACCCCAUUCUUCAGGUAGGCUCCUGACUUGUAAUUUUAUCACCCUGUUCUUCAGGCGGGCUCUUGAUUUUCAAUUUCAUCACCCUGUUCUUCAGGCGGUCUCCUGAAAUCAAAAUCAAAACUAGAACAAAAAUUAUCCCACACAAAGAUUAUGAUAAAAAAAGAUUUCAUUUUCCAGAAAAAAUAAUGUCUCAUUUUGCUCGGAGGGUCCUAAAGUGAAGUUCCUAAUAACAUGAAUUUAAUUUUCUUUUUGCCCUAAUUUAUCAUCAAAAGCUUUUGCGGGUGUCAACAUUCACAACUACUUUCAACAAUGUAUAAUGCAAAAAUGAAUCAAGAUUCUAAUCAACAAAUGCACCUUUUGAGGGUAAAGUUGAAUGACUGAGACCAAACAGUCCGUCUCUUAAGAGUGAAAGUGAAAAAUACUUGCUAAAAGUGCAUCUUUUAGGAUUAACGACUCAAAUUAGGAAGUGCACCUCAUAUCCACAAGACAUGAAAGACCCAAAGAGUGUGUCUCCUAGGUGUACAAGAUAAUGAGUUUCACCAUAAUUGUGAUUAUCAAACGUGUAUAGCAACACUGCUCUUGCAUUUGCAGAAAUGAGGAAUUGGACCUCUGGAUAUUUGCACUUUGAAGCCUUUGAUUAGAAGGUAGCAACUGUUCCUGUUUCAUAGAAAGAAAACUAGUGAGUUUAAAAAGGGCAGUUGUCUUGCGGCUUUGGAUUUUAAGGCGAUUUCGCUUGCAGUUGUCCAAUUAAUUUUGCUUUCAACUAAUGGCAUAUGUCAUUGACUUGUUGCAUCAUUGAUCUAAACUCAGAUUUAAAAGUGACUCAGAAACAAACACAAUAUCUCCAUUUUUCUAUGUCUCUCAAAUAAAUCUUUUGAACCUUGGUAUUUCCUUGAUUCCCUAAACUUGUUUUCUGACCAAACUUCCUGCUUGUCUUGUUUCGACUUGCAAACAUGUUUCUUCCAUGUGCUGGACUUUUGUCUACCUUUGUGCGAUUGAAGAAGUUGGUAGCAAGUUUUGAAAUCUUUUCUCACUUGUUUUAAGGUGGACUUGACUCAAAGACAUGAGAAAAAUAAUUUUUUGUUCGAAUGACACUCAAAAAAACAAAAAUAGAAAUAUGUAGAAGAAAGAAAAGACAAUGUUUGUCCCCUUUUUAAAAUAAAGAAAAGAAAAAAAAAUUAUCUGAGAAUGACAAUCAAUUCUAAUGAUUAUUCUAUGCAUUUUGGAUCAAUCUGCCUGAUCUUUUAAUCCAAACUUUCCACCAAUUGUUGUUGAGUUAAUGACCCUGAAAUUGUGUUGCUUCCUUAAGUUAAUCGCACUUAAAACUCAUUCGGCUAGUGACACCUUGAAUAUUUUCAGCAACAAGCUUCUCUCAUUUUCUUUUUUCUCAACUCAUAAUCGUCGUACCCAUGAGGGUUUUCAUCAAUAAAGCGCUCUCUUUGUUUUUACCUUCAACUCCCUAUUGGCUUAUAUUGCCUGUGAGGUUUUUCACCAAUAAGACUCUCACUUUUUUUUCUCUCAACUCACUAUCGCCUUACGGUACUCGCGAUGGUUUUCACCUAUAAGACUCUCUCAUUUUUAUUUCUCGCCUGAUUUCUUAUACUGAGGAAGAGAAGUAGUUCCCAAAAUGCAUCAUCAUAUGCAUUGCAUGAUUAGCCUUAGCAGUCUCUAAGAUUGAUCUGAAGGUCUUUAUUUGGUAUACAACUUGACUUUUGGAUAAGUUUAGAAAGAAAGAAUGGCAUGACGCCCAAACAAGACUUAAAUUGAGGUGAGACUUACAACUUUUGAAAUCGACUCAAACAGCGAAGAUUAACUCAUGCCCCAAUUUUUUUUGGCUGAGUAAUUUUAAAUUAUUUAUUUGGUUGGAUCGAUCCCAGAGUAGGGCAGUCUACGUAUCUCACUCCCAAAAGAGGAGAAUCAGGUCACACGUAGUUCUGACAACUUACUCUUUUGCUUGAUUCUGAUUUCUUUUCUCUUUUUUUUAUGGACUCUUUUUCUGACUUUUUUUGCAUCUAUUUUUCUUGACACCCUUUUUUCUUUCUUGUUGGAUAAUUUCUUUUGAAACUUUUCUGACUCUAUUUUUUGCCUGACACUUUUUCUUUCAAACUUUGCUGACUCUAUCUUGAUUUCAAAAGAGGGGUAUGAAAUAAAAUAGAACAAAAACUCAAAUGUGGUAAACAAAGGAUGACACAAUGUUUGGAUAACAAAAUGGAAUAGCUUCGUCAUAUCAAUCCUUGAAAAUGCAAAUACACAUCAUGACAUAUGAAGUGAAAGAUGAAGAUUAUUUGUGAAAUUGAGCUUGUUUAUCACUUCUUCUUCUACACUUGUCAAACAUACAACUCCACCUUUAUUGUACAUCCUUCACAUCGAAUGACCCAUGUUUUGUGGAGCUGAUUAUCUUCCUGUUUCUCUUAACAUAGGGAUCAUGCAUCCACUAUUUGACCUAUUUGAGAUAUGUUUUUCAAUUGAUGACCAAGUUAUUCUUGUGCAUCUCAAAAUAAUUGCCUUGAUUUUUAAAGAAGGCUUUAAUUUGAUCACCAAAUGCGUCAACACUCUACCUAUUUUGUCAGAUGCUCUCUUUUUCUAAAUUUAGCUCUCUAAUUCAAAGUUCCUGCUUAAACUGAAUUUUAAGAUCCAGCUAAAAAAUUUUCAGCAUGUCAUAUCACUAGAACCAACAUAAAAUGAACUGUGUAAAGAAAACAAACAGACAACUUAAAAUAAGACAAAACAACAAGGACACCACAUUUCAUUAAAAGAAAAGAUAGAAGAGUGUAAACAAAUAUGACAGAAAAAAAAAAGAUAGAUUCCGAACUACAAUCCUAAAAUAAUUCAAAAAAAAAAAUAAACUACCAACAAUCCUUCCAAGUAAGGAAAUAAGUGACUUCCUAAUUGUUGAGCUUGACAUCUUAACUACUGGUUUGCAUAUCAGUAUGCCUAGAGCUUCCACCGCUGUCCAACAUAUUUUCUUCAACAAAUAAGUUCUGGAUUCCCAUGCUUAACUCAUUGCUUCCUACAUAUUGUGCAUUACCGUGUGUUGGUGAAGGAUUCCAUGUGACGCUCGUAGUGUCAAUGUUUUGCACUACAAUUAAUUUUUCUUGAAUUAUCCUUUAUAUUUGUCUUUGCAAAGCACGACAAUCCUCAAUUCUGUGAUCCUGAACACCAUAAUGAUAUGCAAAUCGUACAUGAGGAUUAAAAUUUCUUGAAUGCGGGUCAGUAGUCUACCCAAGGGGAAGAGUGAUCAUGCCUCAUUGUACUAAUCUUUGGAACAGACUAGCAUAUGAUUCUCCAAUUGGCAUAAAACUAUUCCUAGGCUUUUGCAUCUUUUCACUGUUUGACUUGGAUCGAAUAUCAGGCCUAGAAGGGAUUUGAUAUGUUUGUGGAGUUGGACGAUGACUCUGUGGAGUUGUUGCGCGCCAUUGUGAGUAACAAAGAGGUUAAACACAUGAUUGUGUGUUGUAUACUGGGUAUGGAGGUAGGGAAAUAAAGUAUAAUAGAUUUUGGGAGUUAUUAUAUAGAGCUUGGGUAUGACCUUGGGCUAGAGACUGAUGAUAAUAAUGACGUGGUCUUCUUGGGAAUUCUCGUUGUCCAUCUAUAAUAGCAAUUGCAUUUUCCUCAUUCUUCUUCCCUCCAGUUUCCCUUAAUUGAUUGUCAUAUCGUCCUAAAUAUUUCCUGGAUUCCUCGUGUCCAUCAUGCUCUUCAAAUUUCGAUAUCUUAUGGCUUGGGGAAGUUUUACACUUGAAGACAUGCCCAGUUUUUAUAUGAAAUAUCUUCUUUAUCCGCAAGUCCUAGGAAACUUUUCAUAGCAUUUUCUGUACUCUUCGUUUUUCCAAUCAUUUUCUCUGGUUCUUUUGACCCACUAGACUUCUUGUUAUGAAAUUUUGGUGGUCUCAUUAACAUAAAUGUAGGUUCAGAAGUAUAGCGAUGAUCACCAAGAGUAUUGAACAUGGGCCCACAGCAGUAUGGGAAAGCACAACUGUUGGGCAGAUAGCCAAUGUGGAAGCUUCAGUUAAGAAUUGAGUAAGAAAAUCACAGAUGACAUGUGGUGUUGUGAAUGUAGCAGGCUUAUACUGAGGAGCUAGAGAAAGAGAGUUCGAAGUAUUGGGAUGCAAUUGACGGGGAAUAAUAUAAUGUUGUGGUGAAUCAAAAACAGUAUGAGAUUGACUUUGCAAUUGUAAUGAAAAACUCAAGGUAUUUGCAAGGGUAAUAGUGGGGACUGGAGGAGGAGGCAAACCACUGGCCUAAGCUCGGUGCAUUUACGUCAUUUGUUAUCUUAGUCUCCUAAUCUCUUGCUUUAAACUCUUAUUUUCUCGACUAUUUGUCUGAUCUAUGAUGUCACUCUCUAUAUCCUUGUUGGACAUAACUAACCCUUUCUUGGAUUUGGUGUGAUGUGGAGGACCAGCUAUAAUGCCACAAACAAACCACCUCGAAACUAAAUAAACAAGAGAUAACAAAUGCGUUAGAGUUUAACACUUUCUCAAAAUCUUUUUUUUUCUUCCUUUCUUUUUCUUUUUGAAAAGAUCACCAAACCCUGAAAGGGCGCCUACGUAUCUCACCUUCGAAAGGGGAGAAUCAGGUGUGCGUAGUUCGUGAAGUUUUGGCACAACAUUGCCGAUCAAACUCUUUUUUUUUUUUGAAACUUUGAGAAAAAAAGAAAAUAACAAAUUGUAAAAAGAAUUAAUGAAUUUUUUUUUGAAUCAGUUUUACACGCCCUAUACAAAAUGAAACCUAUGAUUAUCAAAGAAAAUAUUUUUGGGUUUUCGAUUUUGAAUUUCAUAUGAAAAAUGAAACUUGAAACUACUAAAGAAAAAACUUUUUGUAGUUUUCUUUUAAAGAUGUAUAUGACACCUACUCUAAAUGAAAAGUGAAGAAAAUCUUUUUAGAUUUUUGAAAUAAGAUCACCGAACCCUAGAAGGGCUGCCUACGUUUCUCACUCCCGAAAGAGGAGAAUUAGGUGUGCGUAGUUUGUUUAGAUUGGACAAUUAAACUUUAGUAAACUGGACUACGACUUGAGGGAAACGACCAAAUCAGACAAUAAAAAAACGUCAAUAAAAUCUUUUUUGAGUUUUCAAUUUGACACUUCACAUAAAAAUGAUAUCAACAACUAUGAAAGGAAAAUCUUUUUAGUAUUUUUGUUAUAUGAAAUGUACAAAACUUCUACCAUCUUUUUAUUGAAUUUUUCUUUUAUAAAAAGCUCCUACUCAAAAAAUAGCUUUUUGAAAAUUUUGAAUUAUGAAUGCUCACUAAAGGAAACAAAAGGAAAAUCUUUUUGAUGUUUUUAUUUUUUGAGAAAUAAGUGCCAAAAUUAAAAUUUUUUAUGAAUUUUUGGAUUGUGAAAAACGAAAGCUAUAAAUAACUCUAAAAAAAAACUCCGAAACUCUUUUCUGAUUCACCUUUCUUCUUCUUUUUCUUACCUAAACACACGCUCCUUUAAUUCUAGCACACGUUUUCCCCAAAUCAGUCCAUUACACGACCCUGCUAUCCUCAAAGAUGCACCAAUUAGCAUGUAAGGAUGCUUUAGGGUGAGUCUCCUAUAAAGGACCAAGUGGGUCCCGCUAGGUCUCAAUAUGAUGCGGAUUAGCAUUAACAAAAGGCUGACCUAGGCUGAGGGCCACUAACAAGGCUAUUAGGGGGAGCGUAUGGUCGAUAGUGGCUGCGACAACUUUUCACCCACUCUAUAUGUCCGACGGCUCCCCCUCCUAAAAUAAGGGUGACUCAACUAGAGUUCGUGUACACGACGUGCACUCCGGGACUUGUUACGAAAGAAAUGACUCGGGUUAUGCAAAUGAUGCCAGAUAUAAAGUGAUAACACAUAAAGAAAGACUGUAAACAAAGAGCACGUAGGCAUCCAACAAUGAUAAAACAAUAAUAAAAAUAAUAACACAAACAAACUUUUUAUACACAUAUAAUGUCAAACUAAGCCGAUACAACUCAAAAAUAAGCUCGAAUUCUGAAAACUCUCCACCAGAGUUGCCAGAGCUAUUACACCCCUUUUUUAACUAAAAAAAGAUAUGAUUUUAAGUUUGAAAUGAUUUUUAUUAUUAAGUGAAAAAAAUAAAAUUUGUUUCGAAAAUGAUUCUUUUUUAUUUGAACUCAGAGUCGCCACUUGGCAUAAAUUGGGUGUGCCAAGUCACCUUUGAAAAUUCUUUUCAAAAAUGAUUUGACUCUAAAAACUAAUUUGCAAACAAAAAUUUCGUUGACUGAAGGAAAGGUGUUAGGCACCCCUUGAUCCCGUGGUUCAACUACAGUUACUUUAUGGAGCAUAUUGGGUAGUGUGAUACUACAAAAUGCAUAAACCAACAAAAUAUACAACGAGAAAACAAACAACCAAACAGUCAAAGGUCUUAAAAUAUAAUGUCCAGUCCAAUUUAUUACAUACCAAAAUAAAAAUGAUGAAAUGAAAACCUAAACUAUCCUAGCUAUGCUUUACCCGAUACCUCGGGUCUUGAUCACGAACCUCCAUUGCGUACAUGAUACUUUGGGAUAUUUCUCGGUGAAUAAGUACAAGGUGCCUCAGGGCAUUAUCCGACCAAAUAAGUACAAUUGCCCCAAAUACGAUAAAAUAAUAUCAUUCAACAAACAUUUUGACAUUCAACAAUCAUUGAUUUUUAUGGUUUGCCUACCCGACCUAAGAUUUGCCUAUUUAAGUGUCGUCUUAAAACGUGAUACUAUCUAAUUCAACAACAUCCAUCAAUGAAUCAAAAUAAUCAACAUUCACCUUAUUCGAUUUUUAAUUCCCCCUAAAUUUUAUUCUCACUCUCAAUUAACUAAUUCUUCGACUAUCAUUUUAAUUUUUCAAAAUUCAAAUCUUAACAUCAAACACAUACACACAACAAGAUUUCAAGCAUGCCAAAUGCACAAAACAUUCACAAUCACAUGAAAAUUAAAGGAAGAGAAAAGAGAAUUUGAUCUUAAAUGCUUUUUUGAUUCAUCAGAUUCAAUUAAGAUGAAUGUUGUCGGACCUCAAACAGAAAACCACGCUAAACAAAAUUCGAGCCACACCAGACCUCGAUCAAAGAACCUCAACUAACAGACUCAGUAAAUCGAAUGUAACUUGUCGAUGGUAAUUGUGUUAUUUUUGGUGAAACCCGCCAAAAUUAACGCAAAAGAUGAGUCAAUUUUGAGAUAUUGUUGUCACUUUUGGGUCUGAUCAUGGCUCUUUCCAUUGGAAUAGUGCAACGACGGUAGUGGAGGGGUGUUGGGUUACUGGUUUUAGGUAAGGUAGAACCGGUGGUUUUGCAGGAGCUCCGGCGGAAACGAAUUUCACCGGAACGACCUUCAUUUUUUUAUCACUGUUAUUAUUUUUCUUCUUUCCUCCAAUUCCCCCUGUCUUAUUUUCUCACACUAUAUCCAUUCUGAUUUCAGUGUGUGUGUGUUAAUGAACUCUUUGUGUGUAUUUAUCGAUUGGUGUGUGUGUAAAAUUAAUGAGAAUUUUCUCUAUAAUCUAUAAGUUGGUGUGUUAAUGGAGUCCCUCUCUAUCGAUGGUGAGGAUCUAUUAAUGGAGUCUCUCUCAAUCUCCUCAUGCUGUGUGUGUAUCCUUUGUAUAUGAGAGUAUAUGUUGGUGUAAAAUUUUAGUGCGUUCCUCCUUCUGUGAUGUGUCAUGUGCGUAUAUGUAGCUAUGUAUAUGUGAAUUCCUAAUGGUGUAUUGUUGUUAUCUGUUAUAUUGCUAAAGAAAGCAUAAAACGUGACAAGGGAUGGGGCAGGGGGUCUAGGGGUAUAGGGGUAGGGGGUUGGGUAGGGUAGAAAGUUGUUAUUUUUGUUAGAGUGAGGUGGUUAAAUUUGAUUGGGUGGGGUGCUAAAGUUGUUAUAAAUUUGGUUAUUUUUUUUCCUUUGGGGGAAAAAUUAUGAAAUGGUAUGGGGUGUAUGUUAAGGUAAAUGAGUAAAAAUGAUAUCAGGGAGGGACAAAAUUAUGUGUCUACAGGUUACCUUUCAUUCUUCAAAGGAAUUAGUGACUCGAAUGAAAAUAUUGAUUUAAUUGUUAAAUUUGAAAGGUAAUAUAAUUUCAAUACUGUGAGUGAUGUUAAAAAGAUGAAUUAUGCUCCGAGUCACGUUGAUGGUUUGGUUUUACAUGGUAGGAGAAAAUUGAAAGAUUCUUUGGUAAAUAGAAACUUUGUUACAUGUUGGAAUGACAUGAAACGACGUAUGAGAGAAAGAUUUUUAGGUAUUCUAGGUUUUGAGCUAAUGUCAAUAAUGAAGAGGUGAAGCUUGUGGAAAGAUUUAUCUUGAGCUUAAAUAAGAAGAUAAGGAAACCAUUGAAAUUACAUCAUCUUUCUACUUUAUAUGAUUCUUAUCAAAUGAAAAUCAAGGUGGAGGGUCUUUAAAAGAAAAACAAGUCAAAGGUGCAAUAUUCUUCUUCUUUAUGGGCUAAAAAUAAGGAAGUUUGAUAAUCAUAUCCCACUUGAAACAAAUUCAACGGUGAAAAGCAAAAAUUUAGGUCCAACUUGGACAAUGACAAAUCAAAGUUGGACUACAAGGAUGAAGGGGACAAAGCUAAACUUGAAACUCCAUAUAAAUUUAAGUGUUUUAAAUGUCAAUGAUGUGAUCAUAAAAAAAAUGAGUAUCCUAAUGAAAGAACUAUCAUAACAUUGAAUGAUGGUGGUUAUCAAAUUAAAUAUGAAUCAAAAGAUGACUACGUAGAGGAUAAUAGUAGUGAUGAGUUUAUGUGAGAAGGUGACGAAUAAGAAAUUAAUGAUGAUGAAAAACUUAUUUUUGUUGUGAGGAUAAGUAUGAGUGCUCUAGCAUGGAAAUAUCUUGAUCAAAGGGAGAACUUGUUUCAUAAUUGGUGUAGAGUUCAAGAGCAAUUAUGUUUCUUUAUCAUUGAUAGUAAAAGUUGUGUCAUUGAUGCUAGUGUAUCUAUGAUAGAACAAUUAAAUCUUCUAAUAAAAAGGCAUUCAAAACCUUAUAGAUUGCAAUGGCUCAAUGAAUGUUGUGAACUCAAGGUGACCAAAAGAGUUUUGAUAAAUUCAAGGUUGAAAGUUAUCAUGAUGAAGUGCUUUGUGAUGUUGUAUCAAUGCAAGCUUAUCAUUUAUUGUUGGAAAUACAAUGAAAAUAUGAUAUGGGGGCUAAACAUGAUGGAACCUCAAAUUGUUAAGAAUGGUAAAAUGCACAUUCUUAACCCAUAUUUUUCUUUUCAAGUGAGUGAGAAAUAUGAAAAAAUGGGAGAGUUGAAAGAAAAACUUGAGAGAGAAAAGAAAGAGAGGGGUAAGGGAGCAAAAAUGAUAAAUCAAGAGAGGAAAAAGGAGAGGUUGAGAGAUCAAGGGAGAAUGAGUUAUCACAAGAAAAGAGAGGUGAGAAAUAAAAGAAAAAAAAAAUAAAAUAUGUAUGAUUUGCAAAAUCAAGAGUACAUAAAAGAGCUAAAUAUUGAUGAUGCUACUCAAGUCAUAUUUAUUAAACCUAAAGGUUAUUAUUUGCUUUAUAAUAAUGACCUAACUUUUUUAUCUUUGCCAAGUGUUGUUUCUUCUUUGUUGCAAGAUUAUGAAGAUCUAUUUUCAGAAGAAAAACUAAGUAGGUUGCCUCUUUUGAGAGCAAUAGAACAUGAAAUUGACUUUUUACUGGGUUCUCAAAUACCCAACUAAGCGGCUUAUAGGAGUAAUCCUCAAGAUACUAAAAAUUACAAAGACAAGUAGUGAAACUUGUGAAUAAAGAUUUGGUGAGGAAAGCUUAAGUCCAUGUGUGGUGCCCGUAAUUCUAGUACCCAAGAAGGAUGGGACAUGGAGGAUGUGUGUAGGUUGCCAUGCCAUUAAUAAAAUUAUGGUAAAAUAUCGACAUCCUAUUCCCAGAAUUGAUGAUAUGCUAGAUGAAUUGUGUGAUUCUACCUUAUUCUCUAAAAUUGAUUUGAGAAGUGGAUACCAUCACAUCCGAAUGAAAUUUAAAGAUGAACUAAAAAUUAUUUUUAAUACCAAAUUUUAAUUAUAUUUGUGGAUACUGAUUUUUGGGCUAACCAAUAACCAAGUACUUUUAUGCAAUUAAUGAAUCAUGACUUAAGUUAUUUAUUAAUAGUUUUGUUGUGAUUUAUUUUGAUAAUAUUUUGAUUUAUAGCAAGUGUUUGGAUGAUCAUGUGCAAUAUUUGAGAAUGAUAUUUUAUGUGUUGAGAAAUUAAAAGUUAUUUAUGAAUCUUAAAAAGUAUUCUUUUGUGUAUGAAUAUCUUGACUUCUAGAUUGAUGGGUUUUGAGAGCUUGAAGGAGUUAUAUUCUAAUGAUAAUGAUUUUAGAAAAGUCUUUGGAGAGUAUCAAGUGAGCUUGAAUAGGUGUGUGCAAGUUGUUAAGGAGGUAAAUAAAGUUAGAACUCAUAGAUUUGAAUUAACGGAGGGCUACUUGUUCAGAAAUGGAAAACUUUGUAUGCCUAUGUCUUCAUGGAGGGAGUUAUUGGUGAAAGAGGUACACAAUGGAGGUUUGAUUGGUCAUUUUAGAUUGUCAAAAACCUUAGAUAUUCUUAUUGAACCUUCUUUUUCACCUAAAAAUGAUAAGAUAUUUGGAAAGAAUUUGUGCUAGGUGUUUGAAUUAUAAGCAUGCUAAAUUUUGUACCCAACCCCAUGGCAUGUAUACCCCCUUGCCUAUUUACAUCGGUCCUUGGCUAGAUAUUUUCAUGGAUUUUGUUGUUGGCCUCUCCAGGACUAGCAAUGGUAAGGAUAGCAUCUUUAUUGUUGUGGAUGGAUUUUCAAAAAUGAUUCACUUUAUUUCUUGUCAUUAAAGUGAUGAUGUAUCUCAUUUUGCUACUUUAUUUGUUCAUAUGAUGAAAUUGCAUGGUGUUCCCAAAAUAAUUGUUAGUGAUAGAGAUUUAAUUUUUUUAGUAAUUUUUGGAGGUGUUUGUGGAGAAAUUUGAGAAUCAAAUUGCUAUUUCUACUUCUUGCCAUCCUCAAACGGAUGGUCACACCGAGGUGGUUAAUAGAAAUUUAGGUAACAUGCUUGAUAACGUUCAAACUUACACUCAAAUUAUGUGUAAGGCAGAUGUUGUCCAUAUAAUUACCCAACUAAAAGUUGGGGGCGAAUCUACGAGGAGUGAUGAGGUAGAUUUCAAGGCUUAUGUAUGUUGGAAGUUAACUAGACGUUAACUCAUAGUGCAAAAUUCCAAUACAUGUCAAAAUAAAGGGUUUUUUUUACUCGAGUAAAUUUUGUAGCAACACUUAAACACUAUCACAAAAAUAACGGAUCAAAGAGUGUAACCAAUAGAGAGAAGUCUUGGGGUUAUGCUAUUCUAGGUGGAGUCAUGCAUGGGUUGUGAUAUGCACGGGUGUCAACUAUUCAUCCAAGUUUAGUUAAGGAUUUUGGGUAGGCUACAUUUAGGGGUAUUGGUGUUAAUCUUUCAAAAAGACACCAAAUCUCACUUGUGGGUUCUUUCGAACAACUCACAAUUGUGUCAAAUCUACCAAUCCACUACGUCAAUUAACAUCCUUAUUUCUAUGAUGAUGCUAUUAAAUGAGCUAAAUCAAGUUAUUGUUCACAAUUGUUCCUUACCCAUAUCUCCUCUUGUAAGGAUAGUAUGGGUUCAGGGUUCCAUACCUAUAUUCCCUCUUUCAAGGAUGAUAUGGGUUCAAGGGUAAUUGGGGUUUUAAAUCCCCAAUUCUCAAUUAAACAUGGAGCAAAAGCAAAACCCAUCACAAAUAACCAAUUAAUUGGAUAUAUAAUCAACACCCAUGCAUUAAUCACCAACUAAUCAAGAAUAACCCCAAGAGAUAAAUUUAGAUACUCAUGAAAAUAAAGAGAAGACUUUCGCAAAUUAGCAUUCAAUUAAUCCAUGGAAAGCAAAAUGAAUAUAAACACAAAAUCUUCAAAUUCAAACAAAUAACCAAAAUCUUUCUUGGGAACACACCCACAAAUUGUUUUCACUCAAUAAUAGUGUAUUUUGCUCUCAGAACUCAGAAAUUAGAUGUUGGAAACGUGAAGGGUUCAACCUUUUAUAUCUUGAGAUUGAGCCUUGUGAAAUCUCAUUAUUGUUGUUACAAGUUUUCCCGAUACUCGCGAUAGGAACUCCUGCGAUCGCGGUACAUCAGCUCACGAUCGUAGUUUUUCCACUUGUUUCUCUCUCUCUCGCGAUCACGACCCUUAGAGUGCGAUAGCAACAUUUGAGGGUCGUAUCCUGGGGCCUAUCUUCAGCUUUUGUUCUUUUUACUCACUUUCCUUUUUUUUUCCAGCCUUGUCUCAAAUCUUCUUCAUCAGAUUUCCCUAUAAUAUCACGAACACUGGACAUUAGUGCAUUUCAUAUAAGAAUGUCUAAUGUAUGCAAUUAAAUCACUAUAAUGUGCAAGAAAUAAGAUAUAAAUGAGUGACAAAUUUUCCACCCAUCAACACCCCCAACUUAAAGACUUUGCUUGUCCUCAAGAAACACUACUUCACACUCUAUGAGACCAUCCAACUUUUAAGCUCACACUUUCAAUCACAUGGCCACCAUGAUUUUGAAUAUGAUUAGCUCUAACAAUUAGUCAACAAGCAUGGAAAACGGUAACUUUGCAACCCCCCUCAAAUUCAAUCACAUUUCAAGGAUGCAAAGAAAUUUUAAGAAUAAUCAAGCAACAACAACCAAUUCUCAAAAAGUGACUCUCCACCAAUAGCAAAUCAAAUAUGCUCAUUCUCCUUACUUUCGGAAUAUGUCAACUUGACCAAUCUAUUUUAGUCUAUAUGCCUCCUUAUGAAAGAACGUUUCAAUACACCAAAUUUUCAACAUACAACAAGGGGCAAAUGUGCAAGUACUCACACUCACAAAGAACUUCUAAAUGCACACAAGUAUCAUACCAUAUGUUUUCCCUUAUUUUCAAUUGCUACUAACUCAAAACACUUGGUUGGAGAUCCCAACGAACUUUUUCAAGCUUGUAAUGUAGGCUCAAAGAAGGGUAGGAUAAGCAUUUGGGAUAAAAGUGACUACACCCUCUUUGAACUCCUCAUAACACUAAUUAGAUCAAACAUGGAUCAUUGGCCACUCUAUUCAUUUCUAAAUCACACAUAUGCCUAGCUUUUUCACUUUAGUUCACUCACCUUUGGAAAACAUUCUCUUUUCAUUUUUUCCUUAAUGAAAUUUCAUGUUUUUUCUUUCUUUUUCCACCAUUCAUUUGCUUUUAGGCACUCGUUUAUAAAACAGUGGCACAAGAUCACCUCUUCCAAGAUCUGCCACCCCCAACUUAGGCUUUUAUCCUCAAAUUGGCACUUUCAAGUUUAAGAAGGGUAGGGUUCCAAAAAAAGGAUAAAUUUCAAACGAUUUGAGGCUUGUAACGUGGUUACCAAAGAAAGGUCAAUAGUCUCAAAAUGGUUACUAGGGAUACCAGCGGGUAAGAUUUUUAGGCUAAAGUGGUUUUCAACAAUCCCAAAGAUAGCCUAAGAUCAUUUCUCCAACCGCGCAUAAUUAGGAUUUUCUUUGAAAGACCAACAGGGCAAGUUCUUGAUGACACAAGCAAGCACAAGAAUCAAUUGAAUAAUACUCACCACACAUGGAAUGCGAACUAUUCUAGAAGGAUCGAUUGCAUUUCCUACUUAACAACAAAAGAAUUCAUUUUACUCAUUACCACUAACUAAAGAAUUCAGAGUCACAAAAAAAGGCAUAGCUUUGUUGCAAAAUCAUUCAAUUUCAUGCCCUUUAUUUUCAUAAAAAAAUUUGGACGGAUGAGGAUGCUCAUUAUUCACUUCACCAAGCAAGAUUAACUAUCCCUAGCACCAAGCAAGCCACCAUUUCGCAUUUGGGCUCUAAUAAGGGCAAUACUUAUGGAUACUUAGACUCCAACACCUCAACACGAAGGUUUUCUCUUAAGAAUAUUGUUACUCAAUAUAUCAUAGGGAAAGGCUCGUCCAACAUCACUAAAAAGAAAAAGAAAAAUAUAGAAAAAAAAUAUGCCUAAUCAAUAUAGAAAUGAAAUAUGACUAAUCCACAAUCCCUGAGGCACCAUAAGGGUACCCAAUAUUACAACUCAAAUUAUUAAAUUAUCCAAAUAAUACAAAUGUCCACAAGAAAUAACAACCAAAUAGUAACGCCUUGAGUCUGGUACCUAAGACGUUACACGGUGCUCAUAAUCCCGAAGAACCACAGCUAACCCUUGACUGAUAUUUGUAACUAAGAACUAAAUAAUACACUGUAAAAAUGUGGAAAACUGGCUAAAAACUUGCCAUAAGGUUCAAAAACUGAAAUACAAUUGAAAACUAAAUACUAAUAGAACUGUCUGAAUAUCUAGUCUGAAAGCCUCUAAACUGUCUGAACUGUGGAGUUGAUGGGAAAAUCCUCUAACUAACUCUGUCUACUAAAAUAUUAAAUCUAGUAAUAUAAUGAAAUAAUAGAACAUCCUCGAAUGAUGAGGACUCACUGCUAACUACUGCUGUUGGCAGAAUCUGGACUGCUAAGGGUGCUCUGGAGCUCGAGCUUCUGAACCUAUGGUAUAAAACACCACAGCGCAGAAAAGUAUGCGUUAGUACGAUGAAAUGUACUGGUAAGCUAGAUGAGGUAUACUGACUAAAUAAUCUGAGUAUACUGAAUGAGGAUACAUGCAUAAAUGCACAAACUAUAACUAAAAUUGUAAGAAUACUAAAUAUCGAGUUCAACUAACUGGAUUACUGAUAACUGGGUUUACUGAUGCUGAAUUCUAAAUACUAAUUUACUGACAUUUGAGUGUACUAACACCGGGAUACUGAAUAACUGAGUCUACUAAUAUUGAUCUCAGAGUUUUUCUAAUAUUGAUUGACUGUAUCUGAGAUCAGUCUUAUCUAGCGGGUGAUCUCUGAAUCUACUGAUACUGAUUCUGAUUGAUUGUACCUGAGAUCAGUCCUAUCUAGCGGGUGAUAUCUGAAUCUCUGGAUGAUGAAAAUGAUUGACUGUAUUUAAGAUCAGUCCUAUCUAGCGGGUGAUCUUUAAAUUCUAGGGAACUAUCUAAGUUCCUUACUGCGCUGAGUGACUGUAUCUAACAGUCCUGAUUUCUAUAAUACUGCAUUGAGUUUUAUUACUGAGACUGAAUUUGAAACUGAGACUGUGGGAGGUAGUCAUCUAAUCAACAUUCCACGAAUUUGAAUUAGUGGGUUCCAACCUGUAACCCCAGUUGGAAGGGUGUCAGUACCGUGCCACGAGUAAUGACAACUGCUAUGUGGCCAGUCCUAAUAUAGUGGGUGACCCCUAAGAUCAGUCCCGUACUAGCGGGUGAUCCCCGAGUAUGUCUAUCUAAUGGGUGACAUCUCAUGCCUACGCUGGAUACGUAGUUCUGGAACUUAGGGAUUGCUUCUAGGGAUCUCAGUCCUAUCUAGCGUGUAAGCCCCUAUCCCUAGGCUCGCUCGGUACUGAAUCCUACUCCCAAUUGAAAGACACUGAACUGAUUUCUUAGUUCAUACUAGGCUUGACUGAAUUGUUAUUGUUCAUACUGAUUAAUUAAACUGAACUGAUCUCACUGAGUUCCGUUGACUGACGGAAUACUACCGAAUUUUGUUAUCUGACUGAAUGCUACUGAGUUUCUGGACUGAAUACUUGAAUACUACUGAGGUCUGAACUGAAUACUGAACUGGAAUAGACUGAUACUGAGAUUAUUGAGUCUCUCUAAGUUUUGUAAUUGACGGAUUUCUACUAAUCAUGGCACGACUGAGAUUAUCUUAAAAACUGACAUUGGCUCUAGACAAUCAGCUAAAUUGUCGGGUAUUAAAUACCCCCAGGACUCGAUAACAUAAAUAAAUAAGGCAUCAAAUUCUUGAAUAACAUACAAUAGUCUAUCAGUCACAGUAAUAUCAAGGAGGCAUCUCUUCAAGCACUUGGAAGUCUUAAACAUGUAAACAUAUAGGGAUGCAUACCAAUGUCUCAGAGUUCAUUCAUUAAGGAAUGCACGUAAAUUGAAGUGCAUGUAACAUGUCAUAAUUCAUUCACUAAGGCCAUUCAACAAACACUUGCCAUGCAUUAACUUAUACAUAAUUAGGGAUUUCAUGCUAACAUGCUAUAAUGACUCUAUUUCCUUCUCAUAAGCAUUUUAUCAAACAUAUGGGGAGCAUACUUUGGUUACACAACAAUCAAUACAUCCAAUUAACAUGGCUACAACAAUAAACUUGCAACUUAAAGGGGUUUAUCAUGAACAUUAUGCAAAUCAUCACAUGCGAGGACUAAAUCAUGAAACUUCUAAUCUAGAACAUGAAUCAGAACUCAACAAUAACAUAAACAUGAACUUCAACUCACAUAAAUCAUGAAAAAUCAUAAAUAUUCAAUCUUUAUAAUUUUAAAAAGGUUCUUGAACUUCUUGGAUGGAAGGGACCCAAGAAUCAACAUCUAAUAUACCUUAGUUCUUGAUUUUAGGAAGAUUAGUGGAGAGACUCUCGAAUUUGAAUCUUCAAUUGAAAAAUCCUAACUUGGUCUAAAGAGAAAGUGAGAGAAACCACUAUAGUUUGGGUGAAAUAUGGUUGAAUCACGUGUUUUAGGGUUAUAUAAUAAUGGGAAAAAUAUUGAAAUAACCCUGGGGUCACAACUAUUUUAAUGACUGGAAAACUGGCUACCGACGCGUUGUUUAACGCGAUGCGUCGAUGCCAUCGAUGCGAUACCUGAUGCGUCGCAUCAUGAUCGGUUCGAGCCUCAGUUCUUUGAUUCUGGGAGACUGCAACAAUGUUAACCAAUGCGCUAGGCGACGCGGCGCGCCAAGAUCGCGUUGUUCUACUAUUUUGAGACCCCAAACGUGGUCUAAACGAGGUUCGAAAAAUCCGAAACUUAUCUAGGAACCCCUAUUGACAUCAUAAAUUAGCUAAAAUAUCAACUACCUAAGGUCGGGAAGGUCAUGAAAUAAAUCAUCAAAGUUCGAAGGCUUAUAAAAUGAAGAAGUUCUAACACUUAGCCAAAUUUUCUAAGUGUGAAGCUUCCCUUGAUAUGAUUUAAAGAGUUUUAACGACUAAAAAAAUUUGUGGGGUCUUACACAAAUCAUCCAAAUUUUAUAGACCAAAAUAUAAAAUAUGAAAUAUGGAAACAUGAGCACCCCCAACUAAAAGGUAUAAGUGUCCUCAUUGCAUAUCAUAAAACCAUAAAAGAGAUAAAUAGGCCCCCUGAAAUCUCAUCAUGUGCUACUAUCAGUCUCUAUCCCCUUAUCAGCAUAAUCUGAAUUUGGCUCCUCGUCCUUGGACCAUAUAGCCGGUAUCUCAUUAUCAACAUCCGCCCUUACAGAGGAAAGUCGUUCCUUUGGAUUUAGGACCUUCCACAAGCCCUUCACCCCUUUUCACAUUUGGGUAAAGAACUUGUCUCACCUCUUAUCCCUCCUCUUUAUUUUACCAAAAAAACUCACUCAGUUUUUACUGUGAUUGGGCCAAGGAUCUGUAGGCUAGCACCAGUCUGGAUAUGAUGGCCCCUUGCGCUUUUUGAUCUUCUAGGAUCCUUUCAUAGUCACUUUGAGAGACAUAGGUGGCACGACCUGUAAAAGACUCACCCAAGCAUGUGGGUUGUUUGGACACCAAGUCCCGAAAUAGCUGUAUCUGAAUAGACAGCUCCUAGAACGGCCCUGCUAUUGAUGGCCUGCAAGAAUCGAGAUAGUCAUUACCGACUUACCCAAAUCAAUCUUUUUCUUCUUGCGCUUUGAAGUUGUGCCUUCUCCACGCAUCGUUAAUGGGUAAAUUAGUGUCUUCAGGGGUAUCCAAUUGUCCCCUAAAUAUAUUUCAACCUCAGCCCUCUUUCAUAGUUGUCACAACCCGAACUAAGGCCUGGCCAUGAUGGGUAUCCCAAGUCCCUCGCAGACUGGAGACCACCUCCUGCACCUAGCCAAAUAAUACAAUAUCCCCAACAUCAGAUGAAUUUUAAACAUAUAACAAGAUAACGAAGGAUAAGAUCAAAGAAAUUUAAAAUAUGUCUAUAAUAGGCCACCGACAACCGGCUAAAUGACCAACCAAUAUUACCCAACUCCACAGUAAUCUAAUAAAAUCUUCUAAAAAAAGAACCAAAAACCAGUCUUAGCCAAGAUAUGUCCCUAACUCUGACAGAUGAAAAGGACAAUGAUAAUGUUAAUGAUUAUAUAAACUCUCAAUUCUAAUCUAUGAGAAGAAAUGAUGAAAUGUCUAAGCCUUCUGGAGAAUGAAAGCUCACCACUUCACCACAACGAACUAAUGAACCGAGCUGAUCCACCUAAUUCAGCAUAGGAAAGUAGAAGUAUCUCCAGUACCUACAUCGCAUAGGGAUACAACAUCUAGAGAUGAUUAGCGGUUAAAGCGCUAGCAUGUAACUUAGGGAUAAGAGAUAAAUAAUAUCAUGAUUAACAAUUCAAAAUCAGUCCAAAAUCCAAUGCACAUAAUCAUAAGCACACACACACACUUGCAUAUAUAUAUAUAUAUAUAUAUAUAUAUAUAUAUAUAUUUAUAUAUAUAUAUCAUAUACCGAGGUAGGGAUUAACUCUUAGAAUGCAUUUUAAAUCUUAGCCUGAACUGUGUAACACAAUCGACAUAACAUAAUAAGUCACCCACGAGCUAUAUGGGCCCAGCUCUCCCCUAACUGGUAGGGCCUCAGUGCGUGUAGCCGCAUGAACUAGAAGGUAUACAUAUGUACUAUGGGGGACUCAAACCUCCCGGCAUAUCAAGGUGGCAUAAGCACCCAAUCAUAUAAUAUAAUAUGAGGGAUUCGAACCUUUCAAUCAUAUGAUAAUAGUAAGGGGGACUCGAACCACCCGAUCAUUUAGACCCCCUCGUCGGCAACUGCGGUUUUCAGUAUUGGUCCCUCGGGACCUCCACUUUUAUGAAUCAGCUACAUAGCCUUCUUUUAAUCCCAAUUAAAACAAUUAACACACAUUCUCAUUCAUUGAACCAUGAUACACAUUUAGGCAUACAUUUUUGGUAUUGUCAUACCAACUACACUUGUAAGGUAACACCAACAUGCCAAAACAAUUUUGUUAAUUAGGGAAUUCAUAUCCCCUUAUUUCAAUUAUACAUUAACUUGGGGAACUACACAACUCCAUAAGGUUUAAUUUCAAAAUCAUUAUGAUCCAUUAACCUUUCUCAUUAUGCAAUAAUUCAAGAGUAGUUCUAUGUGCAUAUUUUUCAUAUUCAAAAUCCAUUUCACAAUAUGAGGUUGAGGUCAUAACCACUUCAAAAUUCACAAGUUGGGGAAAAUCACAAUCCCCUAGUCUAUGCACCAUACCCAUGCACCCCACAAGUUCAAAACCAAAAUUAAAGCAUAAACAUUCAUGUGUAAACCAUAGGAAACGCUAGUCAAUAACAAACAUUCAAAAACCUCAACCCAUGUUUCAAAACCAACAUCAAUACCAUAUGAACAACACUUCAGAACAUAUGUUUUUUACAAAUUAGAAAUUUGGGAAGAGUAACAUGCCUGAAAUACCACGUUUCAAGAAAGAAUUCAACCCUUGAGCCCUUGGAUGACCUACUUCUUGAAAAUCCUAAAUAUGUUACAUACGAGAUUUGAGAGAGUUAUGAGAGUGUUUAAUAAUGUUAUCAAUGAGAAAUAACCCCCUUGAGUGCUUUAUGAAUGUGGGGUUUUAAUUGGGUAAGAACGAAAUUGUCCACGGUUCCCUCAAGUUAAAAGCUGAAAUUUAGUAGUUAGUGUUUACGGGCCAUUAUAUGACUUGUAAGGUUUCAUUACAACUCGUCACCAUGAGUCAUACCUAAGACAGUCUCUAGGGCACUCAUGCUCUGUUGACCCUAUGGCUCAACUAAUACAACUCAUAAUGGUACCCUACGACUCAUAGGGUUUAGUCAUAGUCAACAUAGAACCCACUUGGGGUAUACACUGGACAUCCUACGAUUUGCUUUCAAUGACUCGUAUGAGUCUUUACGACUCUUAGUGAGCCACUUGUACUCAGAGCAAAAAUUAGUCAUAAAUACUAUUUUAGUUAUGAUUAGGUCCAACAACUUGUCAAGACUCCCUACGACUCGUAGGGUAAGUCUUAGCCUAAAAAGUGAGGAUAAAAUUUCAGAAAUUUUCAAGGAGCAAAAACCCAGGGUGUUAAAUACUCCCCGCCUUAGGAUAAUUCAUCCUCAAAUGACAGGACGAGGAAUUUAUUAGCAUGAUUUGACUCCAAACGCAACCACACUUACCUUUAACAAAGACAAAAAGUAAAAAUAUUAAGAAAUAUACAUACCUCAACCACGAUUAUACAGAACGAGAAACAAGAAUAGAUACUUGGACUUCAUGUCCUCCCCGACUUCCCAAGUAGCUUCCUCAAUCUUUUGAUUUCUCCAAACAACCUUUACCGAAGCCACAUCCUUAGUCCGCAGCCGACGGACUUGCCGAUCCAAAAUCUUAAUUGGAACUUCCACAUAGGACAAGGAAUUAGAAAUUCCCACCUUUUCCAAGGAAACGAUCGUCGAAGGAUCACCCACACACUUCUUUAUUAUCAAAACAUGAAACACCAAAUGAAUGGAGCUCAAACUAGAAGGCAACUCCAAUUAAUAUGCAAUAUUACCAACCCUCUUCAAAACUAAGUACGGACCAACAUAGCGGGGAUUGAGUUUCCCCUUCCUUCCAAACUGCAUCACCCUCUUCAUGGAAGACACCUUCAAGAAUACCCCAUCACCAAUAUUAAAUUCCAAUCCCUUUGCCUCAUAUUUGCGUAGGACUUUUGGCGACUUUGGGCGGUCUUAAGCCUAUCCCAAAUCACCUUAACCUUAAUCAUGGCUUGGUGAACCAAAUUAAGGCCAAAUAUCUUAUUUUCAACAACCUCAAACCACCCAAUUGGAGACCUACACUUCCUACCAUACAAUGCCUCAAAUGGAGCCAUACCAAUACUAGAGUGAUAAAAAUAUAUUGUACGCAAAUUCUAUGAGAGAUAAGUGGUCGGCCCAACUACCACCAUGAUCAAAUACACAAGCCCGAAGCAUAUAUUCCAAGGCCAAAGUUAUCCUUUCCGCUUGCCGAUCUGUUUGCGGGUGGAAAGCGAUACUAAGGGUUACCUUAGUCCCUAAACCUCACUGGAAUAACCUCCAAAAGUGAGAUGAGAACGGAGUACCUCGAUUAGAAAUGAUAGAAACUGAUGUACCAUGCAACUUCACUAUCUCUUAGAUAUACAACUUUGCAUAUUCCUCAGCAGAGAAAUUAGUCCUCACUGGAAAGAAGUGAGCAGACUUAGUUAUCCUAUCCAUGAUGACCCAAAUCAAAUUAUAUUUUUGGCGAGACCACGAAAGACCGGUAACAAAAUUAAUAUUAAUUAUUUCCCAUUUCCACACCGGUAGCUCAAUCUUAUGAGUUAACCUAUGGGGUCUCAACUUCUUCACCUCCACUUGCUGAUACACCAAGUAUUUAGCCACAAAAUUGGCCACAUACCGUUUCAUAUUAUUCCACCAACAAAUUUUCUUGAGAUCAUGAUACAUUUCUGUUGAACCAGGAUGAACCGUAUAACCUGACUCAUAAGCUUUGGCCAAAAUUCUUUCUCGCUACCCAUCAACAUCGGGAAAACAUAAUUUACCUUGGUACCUCAAGAUACCAUCACCAUCAAUCUCAAAAAACAUCAUUUUUUGCCUACUCACAUCAUUCUUGAUUUGCAUCAAGAUAGGAUCCGACAUAUGCUUAUCCUUCAUUUCACUUCCCAGGGAUGACUUCGCCACCUUUUAAACAACCACACUACCAUUCUCAAAAUCCAUGAGACGGACUUCUAGAUUAGCCAAACGAUAAAUAUCUUUUACCAAAUCUCACUUCCCCUCGUCCAUAUGAGAUAAGCUUCCCAUGGAUAACCUGCUAAGAGCAUCAACAACCACGUUAGCUUUACCAGGAUGAUAAUGGAGACCCAUGUCAUAGUCUUUUAGCAACUCAAGCCAUCUCCUUUGCUUGAGAUUCAAUUUUUUUUAGUAAACACGUGUUGCGGGCUCUUCUGAUCAGAAUAAAUAUCUACAUGGACCCCAUACAAAUAAUGUUGCUAGAUCUUCAAUACAAAUACCACAACUAAUAAUUCCAAAUCAUGAGUUGAGAAAUUCUUCACAUGAACCUUUAACUGUCUAGAAACAUACACAACCACCUUGCCAUGCUGCAUCAACACAACCCAAUCCCACUCAGAAUGCAUCAUAAUAGACCAUAAAACCAUCAGUACCCUCAGGUAGAGUCAAGACCGAAGUCGAAGUCAACUUAACAUUCAACUUCUCAAAAAUACCCUCACAAGCAUCAGACCACAUGAACUUCACCUUCUUCUGAGUCAACUUAGUUAAUGGGUCAGCAAUAGAAGAGAAUCUUUCCAAAAGCCUUCUAUAAUAACCAACUAAACCCAAAAAGCUCCAAAUAUCGAUUGGAGUCAUGGGUCUAGGCUAUUUUUUAACCACCACAACUUUUUAUGGAUCUACCAUGAUCCCUUCACUAGAAACAACAUGACUUAGAUAGGUCAUAACAUUUAAUCAAAACUAACAUUUAAUCAAAACUCACACUUAGAGAAUUUCGCAUACAAUCGUUGAUGUUUUAAUGUUUUCAACACAAGAAGAAGGUGAUCAGCAUGAUCCGACUCACUCUUUGAAUAAACCAGAAUAUCAUCGAUAAACACAAUCAUGGACAAAUCCAAAAAACUGAUGAAAUACCUGAUUCAUGAGAUCCAUAAAUACUUUUGGGAUAUUACUCAAACCAAAUGACCUCACCAAAAACUCAAAACGACCAUACCGGGUUUGGAAAGCAAUCUUAGGGAUAUCCACCUCCCUAAUCUUCAACUGAUAGUAACCCGACCGAAGAUCAAUAGUAGAAAAGAACUUACUACCCUGAAGCUGAUUGAACGGAUCAUCAAUCCUAGAAAGAGAUUACUUAUUCUUCAUAAUCACCUUAUUCAAUUGGUGGUAAUCCAUACACAUCCAAAGAGAACCAUCAUUCUUACACACGAAUAGAACUGGAGCACCACAUAGAGACACACUAGGGUGGGUAAAAAACUUAUCCAGAAGAUAUUUAACUGCUUCUUGAGUUCGUUCAACUCAGUCGGAGCCACCCUAUAAGGAGGAAUAGAAAUAGGAUGAGUGUCCGGAAAAAGAUCAAUCCCAAAAUCAAUUUCCCUAUCGGGAGGAAUACCGGAAAGAUCAUCAGGGAAUACCUUGACAAAUUCACAAACCACAAGGACAGUCUAUAAAGAAGGACCUUCGGAUCUAGAAUCCUUAACCUGCACUAAGUGAUAGAGGAACCCUUUAGAAACUAAUUUUUAGGCCCAAAGAUACGAAAUAAACUUUCCCUUAGGCACUAGGGAACUACCUUCCCACUCAAUCACUGCUCAUUAAGGAAGUGGAAACUGACCCUUUGGGUCCGACAAUCAAGACACACGUAGCACGAAUGCAAUAAAUCCAUCCCCAAAAUCACAUUAAACUCUACUGUGUUCAACUCUAUCAUAUCAACCAAGUUCUCUCUACCAUAAACCAACAUCACACAACCCCUAUAGGCCCUUCUAGCCAUAAUAGAUUCACCCACCGAGUAUACACAAAGAAAGGAUCUGGAAUACACUCUGGAUCAAAAUCAAAAUAGAUAGCCACAUAAGAGGUCACAUAAGAGAGGGUAGACCCGAGAUUAAGUAAAAAAUAUACAUCAUGAGAUAGGAGUUUAAGAAUAGCAAUAAUAACAUCGGGGGAUGCCUCAGAAUCCUAGCGAGUGGAAAGCAUGUACAAAAAGUUAUGACUAGUGCCGGAGCCAGAAAUGAAAGUAGCACCCUUUGGUGCGAGAGCUGAUGAAGUAGCAACAAGAAUGUUAUUUGGCCCAAAAGCAGCCUUAGAAGGACAAUCCUUCUGCAUAUGGCCAACUUGACCACAUUUAAAGCACUUGUUCCUCCUCUCUUCACAAAUACCAUUAUGCACCUGACUAUAAAUUCUACACAAAGAAUAUGAUGGAGCUGACUGAGCCCCACUAGCAUGAGACUGGGCACCCUGUGCCCUGGGACCAAUACUAUUUUGAAAAUAAUGAUCACCCGAUGGCUUUAUAUAAGGAUCACUAGCCGUAGAGUAGGAACCAAAAUUACCCCACUUCUUCGUAAACCACUUUCUACUGUCUUUACCACUCUACUGAUGACCUCCACCCUGACCCAAAUAUUGAAACUUCUUAUUUUGCCUUUCACUCACCUCUGCAUGCUUUUUAUUUUUCUUUUUCACUUAUUGCAUAUACACUACAAUUCUAGAGAUAUCCAUAUCCUUAUUCAACAAGGCAGCCUUGCUCUUAAAGAUUAAAUCAUGGGACAACCCAGAGGAAAACUUUCUCAUUCUAACCCUCAUGAUAGACACCAAUUUGAAGCAUAAUGUGACAGCUAGUGAAACUUCAAGGCAUACUCCUUUACUAUCAUCCUACAUUACUUCAAAUUUAUAAAUUCCUCAGCCUUCACCUCCCUCAACUCUUGAGGAAGGAAGUAAUUAAGAAAAGUACUAGAGAAGUUGCACCACAAGCAGACUCAGCAUCAUCGCCCCUAAGAUGCUCCAACUCUACAUGUCAUUGGUAUGUUACACCCUUCAACUAAUAAGCAAUGAACUUUACACCCUCCACAUCAGUAUCAUGUAUCACACGAAAGAUCUUUUCUAUCUUAUCAAUGAAAUUUUGAGAAUCUUUCUCAAACUUAUAACCAGUGAAAGAGAACUCGGCCUCAUAAAUUGGCCAACUCUAAUGACCUCAGAGGUUGGAAAGAUAGAAGCAACACACUCAGUCUGGGAUGCCACCAACUAGGUAAGCAAAUAAAUUGACUAGAAAAACUCAGCAUUAGAAAUAUUAGUUUGAGGUGCAUGAGAAAGGAUAGCGAAAUCGAUGGAGCUCCAUUUGGGCAAUUACAAGCAGCAACCCUAGACCGGGUUUAAACUCCUAGAGCAGGAUGAGCUCUAUCUACAUUGUCCUCAAAUGGGAUAAAAGAGUUUCCACGAGAAUCUAAUCUUCCCGGAGGCAUGAUCUAAAAAGCGAACAUACGGGACUUAGAGUAGAUUGAAGACCUUAGACUCUAUAGGUCAAAAUAGAACAACAAAAAAGGGAAACAUUCCUAAAUGCCUCGUAUCCUCACCCUUAUAAGUGUGGCAUGCUACACACCCAUAAAAGAAACUCUACUUGACACGAUUUUAUGGACACCCACUGACACCAAACCUAUACUCUGAUACCAUCUUUAUCACGACCCAAACCAAGGCCCGGCCAUGACGGGUAUCCAAAGUCCCUCGUGGACUAGAUACCACCCCAUAAACCAAGCAAAACCACAUAAUAUCUUAAACAUCGAAUGACCUUUAAACAUUUAAUAAGUUAGAAAAAAUAAGCUCAAAGAAAUUUAAAACAUGUCUAUAAUCAACCAAACGACCUACAAAUAACAUCCAAGUUCACAGUAAUCCAACAGAGCCUUCUAACAAAAGAACCAAAAACCAGUCUUGAUCGGGACAUGUCCCCGACUAUGACAGAUGAUAAGGAUAAUUAUAAUGUUAAUGAUAAUGUAAACUCUCAAUUCUAUCUAUGAGAAGAACUGAUAAAAUGUCUAAGCCUUCCAGAGAAUGAAAGCUCACCACAAUGAACUAAUCCAAUACACCUAAAUCUACAUAUGAAAAGUACAAGUAUCUUCGGUACCUACAUCGUAUGAGGAUACAAAUUUGAAAACAGUUAGCGAUUUGAGCGCUAGUAUGUAGCUCAGGGAUAGGGGAUAAAAUAAUGUUAUCAUUAACAAUUCAAAAUCAGUCCAAAAUACAAUACCCAUAAUAAGUGUUGGGUCUGGGAUCAAGGCUUAGCAUGUACUUCAAAUCUUAGCCUGGAUUGUGUAGAUCAACCAUCAUAACAUAAGAAGGCACCCACAAGCUAUAUGGGCCCAUCUCUCCCCCAGUUGGUAGGUCCCCAGUGCAUAUGACAGCACAAACCAAAAGGUGUACAUAUGCACUAUAGGGGACUCAAACCUCUCGACGUAUCAAGGCGACACAAGCAUCCAAUCACAUAAUAUAAUAUGGGGGACUCGAACCUUACAAUCAUAUGAUAUGAGGAAGUAAACCACCCGGUCAUUUAUACCCCUGCAUCGAUAAUUACGGUUUCUAGUAUUGGUCCCUCGGGGCCUCCACUUUCACGACUCACCUAGAAAAAGACCCAAUUAAAAUAAUUAACACACAUUCCCAUCCAUUGAACCAUGACACACAUUUAGGCAUACAUUCUUGGUAUUUUCAUACCAACUACACUUGCAAGGUAACGCAAAUAUGCCAAAAUAAUUUCAUUAUUUGGGGAAUUCAUAGCCACUUGGUUCAAUUAUACAUUAGCUUGGGGAAUUACACAACCCCAUAAGGUUCAAUUUAAAAAUCAUUAUGCUUCAUUAACUUUUCACAUUAUGCAAUAGUUCAAAAGUAGUUCAAUGUGCAUAUUUUUCAUAUUCAAGACCAAUUUCACAAUAAGGGUUUUAGGUCAUAACCACUUCAAAAGUCACAAGUUAGAGAAAAUCACAAUCCCCUAGUCUAUGUACUAUACCCAUGCACCCCACAAAUUCAAAAUCAAAAUUAAAGCAUGAACAAUCAUGUGUAAACCAUGGGAAAUAUUAUUCAACAAUAAGCAUUCAAAACCCUCUACCCAUGUUUCAAAACCAAUAUCAAUACUAUAUAAACAACACUUUAAAACAUAUGAUUUUAAUAAAUUAGCAAUUAGGGAAGAGUAAAAUGGUAGAAAUACGAAGUGUCACGGAUAUAAUUCAACCCUUGAGCCCUUGGAUGACCUACUUCUUAAAAAACCUAAGUAUCUUGCUUGAGAGAUUUGAGAGAGUUCUGAGAGAGUUUAAUUACGUUAUCAAUGAGAAAUAAUCCCCUUGAGUGUUUUAUGAAUGUGGUGUUUUAAUUGGGUAAGAAGGGAAUUGUCCAAAGUGCCCUAUAAUUAAAAGUUGAAAUUUAGCCGUCAGUGUCUACAGGUCAUUAUAUGACUCGUAAGGUUUCAUUACGACUCUUCACCAUGAGUCAUAGACAAGACAGUCUCCAAGGCACUCACACUCUAUUGACCUUAUGACUCAACUAAUACAACUUAUAACGCUACACUACGACUCAUAGACUCUUGUCGUAGUCAAUACACAACUCAUGUGGGGUAUAACUGGAUAUCCUACAAUUUGCUCCCAAUGACUCGUAAUGAGUCUUUAUAACUCUUGGUGAGCCACUCGUACUCAGAGCAGAAAUUAGUCACAUAAAUACUAUUUUUGGUUAAUAUUGGGUCCAACGACUUAUCAAGACUCCCUACGGCUCGUAGGGUAAGUCGUAGCCUGGAUAGUGAGGAUAAGAUUUUAGAAAUUUUCAAGGACCAAAAACCCAGGGUGUUACAAUAGUGCAGUGAUCAGGAAAAGAAACAUUAGCAUGGGGUCGCCUUGGUUCUUGUAGUGUUUGAGCUCUGCAAACACAAAGAAAUCAAUAUUUAAACGAAUGUUUCUAGGAUGCAAGAUACCAUCUAGGCUGCAUAAUAGGGAUAUUUGUCAUAUUGGUGCUUGGAGAGACACAACUACAGAUAAUUAUCAACCAAAUUUGAGUUUUUUCCAUGAACUCAUUUAAGGUGAUCCCUAUUUUUAUGGAGGCUCAUGGGAUUCCUCUUUCUACGCAUAGCUGUGAGACUAGCUAGCUCCCUUGGGCAUAAUCUUUAACCUCGAACUCUCCUGGGUAGGCAUCCGGUAGCCCAUAUAGCUUAUUGAUUGCUUCAUUCUCAAAGUUCACCACCUUACCCCUAAUCAUCAUGGCUAGGUUGCAUAGACUUACAGCUUUGAGGUUGGCGUAAAACUCCGGCACCCAUUGUUCAUUGGCUUUGCAUGGGUUCGAGGCAAAACAUCUCCAGUACCUACCCAGUAAUCUCCGAUAGAAGGCUGGGAGUUUGUCGAGCACUUACUCCAAUGAGAUACCCUACUCAAGGAAUAGUUUCUUAUGGUCCAGAUCCUCAUAGUAUACAGUCUGAUAGCUAGCUAUGAGGAGGGGAGUUUGGUCGAAAUUUGCCAUGUUUAGCUUUUUGGAAACCUAAAAACAACACACAAGCAUUAACCAUCAAGAUCAUCAUGUGAAAACAAUGUUAUGUUACUGAGUAAAGCUAAAGAAAUGGCUCAAGGAUCAUAUUAGGGCUUAAAAUAAAAAUUCAGGAUUUUGGGCAGGUUUGUCAGACAGGCCUUAUAUCUCGCGAUCACACUCUGGCAAGUCGUGAUUGCAACACCUGAGGCUUCAAUAUCGCAGACUUGUUCAAAUUUAAAUUUGUAAUUUCUACCCUAAUUUGUGUUCAUAAAAGAUGUACAAAACUAAAAACAAGGAUCACACUUCAUAAUCACACAAGAAUGCCCUCUAAAUCAUAGAAAAAAAUAUCAAGAGUUUUAUUUGGAUAUUUUACCAAACACUUGAUGUGCACUUUGAAUUAUCACUUAUUUUGGGAAAUUUUUUAUUACUCAAGACUUACCCAAUCAAUUGCACAUCAACAACAUCAAUCACAUAAUAUACUAUCAAUCUACGCUCUAAUUAUGCAAGAAAACCAUAACUUAAGUUUAGACCCUAUUCAUGCUUCCAAGGCUCAAAUUUAAGCAUUAAAAAGGAGAAUUGAAGGCUAUACCUGAGAUUUGGAUGCAAAUGAGAAUGAUUAGCACUUUUAAAAUCAUUUGGAAGUGAUAAAAUUUGAUGGAUUUUGAUAUUUUAAAGUAGGGUGUGCAGUGGAACCAUUUUGGAGAUGGUUCUUUUUUAUAAUUGCCCUGAUCACGACUGCGAUCCACCAGGCCGUGAUCGCGAUAUUUGAGGCUAUGUUGGGAAGUCCUGAGCCUCUGGAUCGCAAUUGUAAUUUGAGUGUCAUGAACACUAUACCUAAGACCAGGUUUAAUUCCUUCGAUUCUACUCCACUUUUUGUCUCCUCACUUGUUCAAAUCACCUUCUAAGUUCAAAGAUUUUGUGGACUAACCAAAAACAAAAAUCCUAACUUAUUCUGACAACCAAAAAUUCAAAUGAUAUAUGCCAAAUUUAUGGCAAUGAUGGGUUGCCUCCUAUCUAUCACUUGAUUUAACAUCGCGACACGAUGUCCUCUUAGGAUCAAUUUGGAACUUUUACCUAAAUUGACCAUCCCCACAUUCCAUAUCAACCAGGGCUCUUUUGGUGGCUAAAAAUGGACUACUAAGAAUGAUAUGUGUUUCAUGAUCAAUUUAACAAUCGAGGAUCACAAAAUCAGCUAGAAGAAUAAAUCGGUCAAUCUUUACCAACAUAUCAUAUAACAUGCCCAUGGGUUUCUUGAUCGAACGGUCGACUAUUAAAAGCCUCAUGGUGGUGGGUGUAAGAGAAACCAAUCUUAACUUUCAAAAUAUGACAUAAACAUCAAGAUAAUACUUUUUCCAAGAUCACACAUGCCUUUUUAAAUCUAUACACCCAAAUAGUGCAUGGAAUGGUGAAUGCACUCGGGUCUUCUUUCUUUUCCUUCAUUGUGUUUGACAUUAUAGAGCUGCAAUUAUGAGUCACCUAAAUAGUUUUACAAUCCACAAGUCAUUUUUUGGGGAUCAAGUUCUUCAUGAGUUUAACAUACUUCGGUAUGUCUUGUAGAGCUUCAAUUAAUGGAAUGUUUAUCGAUAGGUUGCUAAACUUUUCAAAAAGCUUUUUGAACUUUGUAUUAUCAUCUUUCUUCUUAAGCCUUUGUAGGAAGGGGAAGGACUGUUGACUGGUGGUAAUAGAGAAAUUGUAGGUUCAUUCACCUUUGGCACAUCACCGUUGAUCAUUUUAGGAGUUUCCUAAUCGUUACCUUUUAUUCAACUACCAUCUGUUUCUCAACAACUGCUUUAUUGGAGUUAGGAGCAUCGUCACUUGGAUUUCCUAGCUGUUUUCUUAUUGAACUUGCUUGUUCAUCAUGUGACUUUCCAUUGGGAUUCUCACCAAUCUCAGCCAUAUCUUCACCAAGAGUUCGUCUACUUCUAGUGACGAUGGCUAUGACAUGAGCAUCAUUUUUGGGGUUGACCACCGUGUUACUAGGUAGACCUCCUUUUAACCUAGCAUUGAGUUGAGUUGAGAUUUGACCUACUUGCAUUUUUAAUUGCUUAAUGCAGUUCGAAUAAGAGGUAACUAUUUAGGUUAACUGAGAAAAAUCACCCUUUAGCUCUCACACUAUGUUAUCGGUACCUUCUACAUGCAUUAAAAUUCGGGCAAGAACAUCUUUGGUUUUGAAUUUCUCUGGAUCCACAGAGCUUGACUCCUUCUCCUUGGGCCUCUUAUAAGAGGGAAUAUACCAAUCACUGUCUCUCUCUUUGUGUCUCCACUCUUGGACUCUAUCACUUUCUCUAUCCCUACAAUCUUUAUCCCGAUCUCGAUCCUUCCAACGUUGGUUUUCGCCUUGAAUUUGAUAGGUAGGGCGGGAACUCCCCAACUGGUUUGACAAGAACCUAAUAUACUUAUCAAUAUUCUCCAAUUCUUCAUCAUCAUAAUCCCUAGUACGCUUGGAAGAAAUAACAUUGACCACUUUAGGAGGGCCCCUUAUCACAUGUUUAGUAAGAAGGUCAAGUUGGGUCAUCUCCUUGGUCAUAUUCUCAUCCCUUUCAUCAUCUUUCUUAUUUUGCUCUUUGUGUAAAAAAGAUAUUGCGGGGUACCCCACGGUCACCUCGGUGUCCCUCGUAUACCAUUCUCUAUUAUGCUUCACUUGAUCUAAUAAAGUUACUCAACACCAUAAGAUAACUUGACACAAGAACCUCCGACCGCAUCAUCAACCAUCAUUUUGUUCAGUUGAUCUAAUGCCCUAUAGAAAAUUUGGAGAAGCAUUUUAUUGGACACCUUAUGAUUUGGGAAUUGCAUCAAUUUGUCAUUGAACCUUUGCCAAACUUCAUACAAUCGUUCGCCACUAAGUUUGCAAAAUCUUAUGAUAUCAUCCCUUAGUUGCAACAUUCGAGAAAAAGAAAAGUAUCUUUCCAAGAAUGCAUCGGUGAGCUCAACCUAAGAGGUGAUAGAUCUUGCGGGUAAAGCCGCAACCAUAGAACCGCUUCUCUAAUGAGAAUAGAAUAAGUCACAACCGAAUUUACUCUUGAGAAAUAUGGGCAAUAACAUAUAAAGAGCACACCUCAAUGAAAUUUUUCAAGUAUAGAUUGACAUCUUCAUGUGCUUGUCCUCAAAAUAACCCCUCCAUAUUUGAAGUAAAUGGAGCAUCACACUAGUGACAUGAAAUAGUCCAUUCCCUUCCGCCGGUGGAAUACGGAUGGCACUAGCAUGCCCCACAUCCCCAAGAUGAUCCAUAUCCUUAAGAUGUCCCUCAAAAGAGCCAUCAUUACCCCAUGUUGGCUCAUGGUAUCGUGAAUUCUAUUAUAAUUACCUAACAAAAGAUAAAAAUAAUAAAUAAUGUAAACUAAAAUUGAUGAGUCAUUGGGUGGUUGAUUUUUGAGUAAUGGGCUUAACCCAAUCUACUUAACAAAUGAUCAUUAUUGAUACAAUUUUUUUUUUAUUGAAAUGUAUGUCGUACUUUAAACUUAGCAAAUGAUCAUUCUUGGUACAAAAAUUUUUUUUAUUGAAAUGUAUGUUGUACCUUAAAAAUUAAUUUUUUUUGGGUCUUUUUUAAUGAUUGAGCCGAGUCUUUCGAAAUGUUUGUUGUAUUUUAAAAAUUAUUUUUCUGAUCUUUUCUGCGCUUGACAUGUGUACUUCGCUGAGAAAUCCCAACUCCCUAUUUUAUCUUUUGAUAAUGUUUUCCUGUUACAAAAAACAGUAUUUAAUUACAAAAUGCUUAUAAAAAAUAACACGAGACUACAAAAUGCUUAUAAAUUUGUCUAAAAAUUAUGACUUGUAUUUGAAUUAUUAGUUGAUGUGCAAUAGACCAAUGAACCAUUGCAAUAGUAUCAAAAAUAGUUGCAAUAAAUAGUUAAAAAAUAUUGCAAGAGACUAACAAACCAUUGUCAUAUGUAAUUAACAAUCAUUGCAAGAGACUAAUAAAUCAUUACAAUAGCUUACUAAAAUAGUUUCAAUAGGUAGUCAAAAAAUAUUGCAAUAGAAUAAUAAACCGUUGCAAUAGGCUUUCAAAAUAGUGGCAAUAGAUAGACAAAAAUCGUUGCGACUUAAUAAUAAAACUGUUGCAAUAGGAUUUAUUGCAACGGUUUAACGUUGUUGCAAUAGAUGCUAUUGCAAUGGUUAGGAUCCAUCGUUAUCAAUAAAAAAAAUGUUCCAACAGGAGAAAAAAUAACUGUUACUAUAGGUUAAUCUAUGAUGAUGAUUUUCGCAAAUUGUCGCAUAAAUCGUUACCAUAUCUCUAUCCCUACACUCGAAUAUCAAACAUAUGCUAAUAUUGCAAUAGAGAUAUAACAAUGAUCCUCUUAUAUAUUACAAUAUUUUUUAAAUUAUUGUCAUAGAGAUAAUUUUUAGUAGUGCGCUGAGCUAAAGAUGGUCUGCUUCACAAUAGAUAAAGUAGAAUUGUCUACUUGUGAAUCUUGCCUAAUUGAAAAACUGUAAGAAAAUUAUUUGAAAAAGGUACAAGAGUUGAUAGUCCAUUGCAAUUAAUUUAUUUUGACAUUUGUGGUCCAAUGAAUGUAAGGACAAGAUGUGGUGUUAUUUACUUCAUCACUUUUAUUGAUGAUUUUACUUGUUUUGAUUAUGUAUAUUUCAUUUCUCUUAAAUCUGAAGCUUUGAUUUGCUCCAUUAAGUUUAUGAACUUAGUUGAGAUUCAACUGAACAGAAAAUUAAAGUAAUAGAACUGAUCGAGAAAAAGAGUAUUUGUCUGAUGAGUUCAAAUGAUUAUGUGAUAAAAAGAAAAUUCAAAGACAUUUAACUACUCCAUAUACUUCAGAACGAAAUGAUGUUGCAGAACGAUGAAAUAGAACGGCGUUAGAAAUGGUCAGGUCAAUGAUGGCACAAGAAAAAAUGCCUAUCACCUAUUGGAUGAUGCAUCGCUCACUGUUGCGUUUGUACUUAAUUGUGUCAAUCCUAAAUUAGUUACAAAUACACUGUCUGAGUUAUGAAAUAAACAAAAGUCUAAAGCUUUGGAGUUGUGCUGCUUUUAUUUAUAAAUGUUUUUCCCAAUAUAAAAAAUUAGGCUCAAAGAAAAAGAAGUAUAUCUUUAUAAGAUACUCUGAACAAUCUAAGAAUUAUCAUAGGUGAACUAGAUAGAGACACUGUAACUGAAAUUGAGCCGCGUGAUAUUAAAUUCAUAGAUAAUGAUUUUUCUAAGAAGGGCGAGAUAGGUCAAGACUUAUCUCUUUAUAAAACUAUGAACAAGACUACUUUUGCACCAACUUUCAAAUAGAUUGAAAUGGGAGUUAUGCUAAUAAUAAUGGAUCGAUUUUUAUUUUUACAAGUUCUAAUAAUAUCGUUGGUCCGAGUGGGAUAUCUUUUAUGUGGUGUACAUAAAUUUUUUAGGAUAAAAAAGUAUGUCAAAUAGGUAAAAAGAUUGAUCUAUUCACACAAGCAGUUAACUAUAUUGUCUAAGUGACAAGCAGAAAUGAGACAAUUAUAAAUUUACUAUUGCCAGAAGUGAUGAUAAAAGAGAGCUGAAAGAUUAUAAUCAAAAUGUCAUUUGUUAGAUUGUGUUUAAUCAUAUGUGAUUAAAUUGAGUUUGUUUGUUUGUAAUAUCAAUAUGAGUUUUGAAGAAUAAAAUAAUUGAGUAGAUUUAUGAACUCAAUAAAUAUGAGUUGUCUGAACUAUCAUCUGCGUAGUAUUUAAUUUAUAGAAGACAUAUUCUCCAUGAAAAAUGAGUUAGUACUGUGAUACAUGUUAUAAGUUUAGUCUCUAUUUGCUAUCAUAUGAAGUUCUGGAAAUUAUAAGUAAUUUUUUACAUUGUACCUUCACAACUUUAAUCAGUUUUUUGAUAUUCAAUUUGUUUUUGCUAUCUUAUUAGUAUAUUGUUAGGAAAUCAUGGUUGAUACGAUUUGACGGGACAUUUUUAAAAUAACAUAUCACGUUGAGAUUGAGAGAUUCAUGAUAUGAGGAAGAUAUUAGAUAUUAUCACAUUAAUUGUGUUCAUUGGCGUUCUUUAUGUUUGUCUGUGAGAUGAGUAUGUAAUGAUGAACUCAAAAUUAAGAAAAAGAGAUGAUGAGAAAUAUGAAUAUGAUAAAUGAUCUAGGGUAUUGCAUACUACAAUCUACUUUAAAUUUUAUUGAAUGAGAUGUUGUAUAUUCUUAACAGAUGUAUAGCAACGAAGCUCUCAAAGUAUGCAUUGGUCACACGGUCUAGUCGUAAAGUAUGAAUGUUACAGAAUAGGAAUGAGAGUUGACCCACAAUAUGUGAGUGGGAGAUGAAGAAAAUUAGAUCGGAGCAUCCAAGUGGGUCAAUUCGAAUCCAUAUCAAGAAAUAAAUAAUAUAUUACCAUUUAUAUUAAUGAAUAAUAAGAAAGAAAAGUCAUGUCUGUUGAAAAAGUAAAGAGUUGUGUCUCUUCAUAAAAGAUGAAAAGCCAAAAACAGAAAAUAAAAAGCAACGUGCUUUACUAUUUUCUCUCUCUUCUUUUUAUGUGAAGAACUUUAGUGAAAAGAUUCUGGUGAAGAUUAAGCAAGGGUGGCUCAAGGAUAAGGUUAGUAAAGUCUUUGUUUUAGGCCUCCAAAAUUUUACGGUCUCAAAAUAUUUUAGUUGUUACUUUUAUAACUUUAAUUUCUUUGACAAUAUUGAAUAUGGUAAAAUAAAACUAUUACCAUUCAAUUGAAAUAUUUUAAAACUUGAAAUUAAACUACUCAAAUAUUUAUAAUAAUAAAUAAAAUAUUUACAAUAAAUAACAUCCAAGGUAAUGUAUUGAAA
This 77008-nucleotide long non-coding RNA is filed under the name Capsicum annuum. RNAcentral's name for it is "long non-coding RNA (CANN_LNC006365)". Lineage: Eukaryota; Viridiplantae; Streptophyta; Magnoliopsida; Solanales; Solanaceae. The record is from RNAcentral.